RNAcentral lists this long non-coding RNA (70218 nucleotides) under Malus domestica (apple). Its description in RNAcentral is "long non-coding RNA (MDOM_LNC000756)". Lineage: Eukaryota; Viridiplantae; Streptophyta; Magnoliopsida; Rosales; Rosaceae. The record is from RNAcentral.
UCAGCUACAAGUUAGUUAUUCACACAAAUAAAUGUUUAGUUAUUUGAUAACAAUAAAACACAAUAACAAAUUAUGAAAAAUAACUUAGAUUAAUAUGAAAUAAGAGUAUAGAUGUUCAUGAUAAGAGUACACACUAGCCCUAACAAAAGGACUGAAUUCAUGAUAAAAUUAAAGUACACAAGCUGAAAUUCUAAAACAUAGUGAAAAACAACCGGAAUUUCAAUCUCCGCUCCACAUCAAAGCUUGAAUUGUCCAAUUAAUUCCUUCCUCAUGCUCUCAGCUUCUCUCCCUCCCUGUUGCGCAGGGAGAUUCUCUUCAAUUUGUGUAGCAUAUCCCUUUUUAUAUUAUCUUCUUCUCUUCCUUUUGUCUCACGCAACAAGGAGAUUAAACCAAUUAAUCCACACCAAUUAAACCAAUUCGCACCACUUGACUGGGAACAGACUAGCCCAAUUAGAGUAGGAAACAUACAAGUUACAACCAUAGUGUGUUGACAUGCACUAAGUCGAAUAAUCCAAUUUCUGCACCGAUCGGCAAAGCUCACACAGCCCAACCUUGAUAACUCCUUGUGUUUUUCAUAUUUUCGCCGUAAAAUACAUGUUUUUCUCUUCAAUUAUAAUUUCUACCAAAAUCGCACAAAACGUAUUAAACCUAACAAAAUUAUGACUAAAAUUAGGUAAAAGAGAUACAAAAUAUAUGUAAAUAUCAACCUAACAAUAUGCCAUUAGGUUUUGUAAUUAGGAUCGAAGUUAACUACUUUUUUUUUUCUUUUAAUGGCUCUAUUAAGGGUCUAGCAAGGCAUUAUGCUUAAUCAUUUCUAACUAUGAAGAACUAAACUCAUGAGCCCACUGAUCGUGAUCAUGGUAUAAAAUAUCGAUGAUAUCGGAAAUAUCAGUAGUCCAAAAACAUGAAAAUGUCAAUGGAAAUAUCAAGAUAUUAUCGAUAUUGAUAAAAAUUGAAUAAAAACCACGGAAAUUGUAAGAAAAACUUGGAAAUUUUUAUUGAAACUUUGGAGAAUGUUUAUUUAGUCAAUUAUCUAUUAGUUUAUAAAAAAAAUAUUAGAAGGAAAUGCAUUACAUGAUGGAUUUAACUGAUUUAAGUUGAUUAUACAGUGAGCUGGUAAACACUGUGAGUGUAGAAAAUAUGUAGUAAUUAAUGAAAAAAAGAUUAAAUGCACCAUAAUCAUUUAUAUAUAAUGAUUUACUACAAUAUUUUACACUUUAUACAUUGCAUGGUAAGAUACAUGAGUGAUUUAGUACCACAUAAAGUUCCUAUGAGGUUCAAAAUUUUCACUAUCUUCAUCAUCUUUAUGUGUAGAGUAAGUUUAUUGUGAAGAGUAUUCAUCAGAUGAUAAAUCCCCAAAAUAGUUUUGCAUGUAAUUGUUAACAUGCGACUCAUAUAAGUAUAAAUAUUUUAGCAUAUUAUCACUAAAACAUAAGUGAUAUAUCGUGGUUAAGGUGUUGUAGGAGUAAAAUGGGAGGGGUUCAAAUCCCCUUUGUGUUUUUUUUCCUCCCUUUUUUCCUUUUUUUUUCCUUCUUUUUCCUUUUUUUUUCCUUCCUUUACAUCGAUAUUUUCGAUAUUUUAGUGAUAUUACACCGAUAUUGUGACAAAAUAUUGCUGAAGUGUGAGCGAAAUUAUCGACAUCGAUAUUUUCCGAUAUUAUUGUUGAUAUUGUCGAUAUUUGUACGAUAUGUACAUAGAUAUGUUCCGAAAUAUCCGUGAUUCGAAAAAACUGAAAUAUCCUCGAUAUUUCGUCGAUAUUAUCGAUAUUUCAGACUAUGAUCGUGAUGCAAUAAAAUUCAGUUCCAUUUUACUUUUGUUGUUCCGCAUGAUUUAUCAAAUUUCACUUAAAUGUGUGAAGUUAGAUAUUUGGUCUUGAUGUUUUAUGGAAGUUUGUACAACAAAAUUUUAAAGUUUGCACAUGAGUCACAUGUAUCAUGUAUGUAAAUACUGAUGCUUACCAUAUGUGUGUGUGUAUAUAUAUUUAUUUAGAAUUUUGUACAUGUUUUAUAUGGCUUUAAAUUUCGCAUCAUCGCGCGGACACCCUCGCUAGUAAAACAUAUGUCACAAUGAUAGAUAAUGUUAAGUCACCACAUUAAUAUUUAAUAAUAAAGUAAUAAUCGAUUUCAGCAUGUUUAAAUGUCUAUAGUAAUGUUAUCUAUACCAUGUUUUUGUACCACAUUUUCAUACCACCUUAGGUGGCAUUUCAUGUAGACAGCCACAUCAUUUGAAUUAAUCAGAUUUUUAAAUUUAGUUCAUUAUUUAAUAAACUAAUAAUUAAGAAAAACUAGUUAAUUAAAUGAUGAUUGUGGUAUACGAGGAGUCUUUCUCCUUCCUCUCCUUGGGUUUUGCAAAUUUUUCAAAUAAUGUGGUUGUCUACAUGCCACCUAAGGUGAUAUAGAAAUGUGGUAUAAAAACAUGGUAUGAGUAAUAUUACUCGACGUUCUUGUGCUAGGGCGAGUUCACGAGUCUUAGUAAGAAUAUAUAGUUUAUUUUCAAUUUACUUAUGAUAUUAUGCAUGCAUUCUUUGAAUUAUUAAUCACUGUUUUAAACUCCCUAGCAAGAAUAUGUAAUUUAUUUUCAAUUUACUUAUGAUAUUAUGCAUGCAUUCUUUGAAUUAUUGAUUACCGUUUUAAACCAUCUAAGUGUCUUAGUGAUUUGUGACCAUUAAGAUCUUUAGAAAAGUAAUUUGAUGCAAUUUUGGUCGGAGGGUUCUUUGAAAUUGAUGCUGGCUUCUUGUGGUUAGUAAUUGUAAUUUCACUUAAGAUGAACACACGUCUUAAGCAUUGCAUGGAUUUUCCAAAGGGUUUUCAUAAAGCACAAUGAGUCUCUCAUGUUCAUAUUUGAUCCAAAUAUCCGGACGGAUUGCAUGUUAGAUAUACGUUCUAUGUUGGAGGUUCCAAGUAGAAUGUAUAUUAGGAAAACCUAACCUUCAAAGUAGCAUGUGUAUAUCUAUUUAAACCCGAUUUUACACUAUCGGCCUGAGCAAUCAAGGCCAUAGAAUGAGUAAAAUUCUAAACCGUUGGAUUGAAAAUUAUUUCUAAAAGUGCAGUUGUUUAUGGGUCGGUUUUGUGCACGUGGCUUAAUUGUCGUGUGGUAACAAAGUUUCAGCGUUGCUUUUCUUUGUAGAAAGCAUGGGGUAAUGCUAAAAUAAUGAUGAUGGAAUUAUGAUGAGGUAAGAAGCCUAGAUAGGCUAGGCUUUUGGUCAUGAUGGGAUAAGUCAGGAUGGGCUUUUAUCUUGUAUGAAACGUCAGCCAUUUGGAUGAUAGGCUUCAACCUAUAGAUGAAAUAAGGAAAUAGUGACGUGAUGCUGCAUGAGGUUACCAUGCAUGCAUAGAUAACGAUUAUGAAAUGAUGGUGGGACCGAAUAUCCUUGGCAGGAUGCCAAGAGUUUUAAUCAAAUGGCAUCACAUACAAGACUUGAAGAUAAAGUGGCAGUACGUUAGGUUGCUACAAAUGAACACGUGGGGUCCAAUUUGCAUGAGAUGAUUAUUUGUGGUUGAGCUUUGAGUUAAUCAAAUGUGUUAGAAUGAGAUAAAGAAAAGUCUUGAUGAGCAUGGCAUGGGUUCAAGUGUUUAAACUUUGGCGAUGCAUGCACUUGGACGCAAAUAUGGGCAUUAAUAUUGCAUGGUUCCUCAGGAUGCUAUAGAAAGAGUUUCAUGUGCAUCCAAAUUGGUCUGAUUCCAUCAAAUCCAACAACCAAUGGCCAAUAAGGAUGCAUCAUUGUCAAGCGGUCAAUUACCGAAUCAGAUGGCUAUUAAAAAUUUUAUUUGUAUCAAGUGCUUAUCUUCAGGAGUCAAUUAACGAAUGGGAUGGCUUUCAAGAGUUUUAUUUGUAUCAACUGCUUAUCUUCAGGAGGUUCAAGUUGUGGCCAACUACGGCUGUUCCGUGAGAAACACAAGCAAAUAAUGCUAUAAAUACAUGAGGCUGUGCAACAUUUAAGUCACCUCCAAUUCAACACACAAACUGCAAUGCGCAAACCCUCGCUCUACAUGAAACCUCUCAACAACCUUGAGAUUUUUAUUUUCUUUUUCCGCCAACACAUCUUCAGUUUGGAUAAACAGCACUGUGAAGGCAAUCGGAGACACAUUCAGUUUGGAUAAACAACACUGUUGUUUUAGAAUCAGCCGAUCGCGGAGCACCUUCAAUUUGGAUAAACAACACUGCAUCGAGGCAAACUGGUUACCUAUGCAAGUCUCGGUCGAGAAGAAUUUUUUAAUCCUUAUUGGCAGAGGUCAUCUCAUUAGCUUUCUCGGUGAAGUGAGGUGUUACAAAUUACUAGGCUCGACACAUUGAACGCCGAGUUGUUUAUGAUUGGUUAUUCACAAGUAAGUUUUAGAGUUUGGCAUUCUGACGGCUGAACCACAUUCACAAUCAAGACGUACAUCUCUUUUGAGUACUUGUGUCCAUAUAGUUUGGUGCCAGUUCGGCGAUCUUAUACUCUUACGAAUAUAAUCACCGUGUCUGAACCUGGCGCCAACGAUCCGUGAACUUCGUAGAACUAGCAGCCUUGUCUUCAGGCUCUAAAACUCGAAGGUCGAGACGUGUUCGUUCCUCGGCUGCAGUCGCAAGAUCAAAAAUUCAGCAGCCUGGAAAUUCAUAUUUGUGCCAGUGACUUUGUAAUAGAUUCUAAAAAUUAAUGCCAAGGGUUGUGUUCCUUCAAGGACUUGAUAUCAUGAAGUUUUAAUGUUUAAUGUAAGUGUUUUCAGCAUGUGCAGAUCUGAAAGACUUAUGGUAAAGUCUGGAAAACAAUCAAAAUGGAUAGGUCCAUUAUAAAGACUGGAUUCAAUCAUUCCAAGUAUGCUAUCACUAAAAUUAGUAAAUCUAGCAUCUCGGAGACAUAACAAAAUAGAGGUGUUAAGGCCUCUACGUGUUAAUGGUUUUAUAGCUAUUUGAACUAAACCUAUGUGGAUAUAGUUAUGACCAUCUUUCUUGUGUAUUUUAAUUUGUUCAGGGGAAAACAAUUGACAAGUUUCAUGUUCUUUACUAAGAGCAUAAGCUUUUUCAACUAUUUUAACAUGAUGUUCACUUCUAAAUGAGGCUACUGACCAUUUCUUUUUGUAAAUAUUUUUACUUGAAACCUUGGGGAUAUUCCAAUCUCCAAAAUCAACAUUGUCAUCAGUUUGAAAAUCAAGUUUUUGUUCUUCAUUAACAAUAUCUGGAACUGUGCCUAAACUAGAUCUAGAGCUAGUGCUGGCCAUUGAAUUAGAUCAUAAGAACUGACUAAUUCCGUUUGGUAAUUGGGUUGUGGUUGAUGAUAAUUUAGCCUAAGGUUACUUACUGUGGAACCUAAGGGAGUAAAACGGUUGGUAAUGAUUAGGGCCGAUGAGGAAUCGGGAAUAUAUUCCUGUUUUACUGGUGGUGGAGGUAGAGUGGCUGAAAGCGUCAUCUGGCUAUUGCUAUUGCUCUUGUUUGUCAUUCUUCCCCUGCAAAAAUUCUCUUGUUAGGAAAUCGGGGAUGCUGUUAUGGCUGCCUUUAAUGUACUCAAUGUCAAAAUCGAAAAUGCUUAAUAUGGCCUGCCAUGGUGCAAAAAUUUGUUUUGAUGCAAUGUUUUGAACAUCUUUUUGUAAAACAUGUUUUGCAGAUUUGCGAUCGACUCGGACUAAAUUUUUUUGAUAAUAUAUAUAUAUAUAUAUAUAAUGUUAGCUUGAUUCAGGUUGCCACUACCGAGAAGUGAUUAGAACGUUCAUGAUUGGGGGCAGGCCGAGCUGCCAAGAAUGGUUUUUCUCGGCCAAGGUGGCAGAACAGAGCCAGUUAUCCACGUGAUUGUAAUGUGCUGAGCCGCCAAGAAUGGUUUUUCUCGGCCCCAUUUGGAAUUCAUUAGUCUAUCGACCGUAUAUGUUGAAUGGUCGAAGUGAUUACGGGGUUUAGCUACCAACAGAAGUAAUUGGCUUCAGCUUAUGGACAUGUUAUGGCAUGAGGAAUCGUGAUCUGCUUCAAGGUACAAGGCUAAUGAGGAAUCAUGAUUUGCUUCCAAGCUGUCAAAAUACCAUUGGAAAGACAAGUGUUUUUUUUAGGCUGAGCUUGGCCAACUCAUCGAGGUAUACUUUCCAAGUUAUGUAACCAAAUAACUUUUGAAGGCCAGGAAACUUGGCCCAAAUUUAGAACAACAUGGUACGGAGUGAAUUUUUAUUCGGCGGUGGAUGCUCAUUUCUCCUUAACCAUAUAUUUCUAGGUGUCACUCAGAAGUGCUCAGUGGUCAGGGAAUGUACGAUUAUUGGUUCUAGAUUUUUUGAACUGACAGUCGUUGAGUGCACAAGAGAGUCCUCUGCUUUACCAAAUCACUUCAUUUUCGGUGAUAGAGGGGUUUUUUGACUGCGUUAAUUUCCUUAACCAUUCAGCUUACCAGCCGAAGCUCAAGGAAACUAGGAGGCAAUGUUUAACACUAUAGGUCUGAGCAAUCAAGUCCAUAGAAUGAGUAAAAUUUAGAGCCGUUGGAUUGAAAAUUAUUUCUAAAAGUGUAGCUGUUUAUGGGUCGGUUCUGUGCACAUGGCUUAAGUGCCGUGUGAUAACAAAGUUUCAGAGUUGCUUUUCUUUGUAGAAAGCAUAAGGUAACGCUAAAAUAAUGAUGAGGUAAGAAGCCUAGAUAGGCUAGGCUUUUGGUCAUGAUAGGAUAAGUCAGGAUGGGCUUUUAUCUUGUUUGAAAAGUCAGCCAUUUGGAUGAUAGGCUUCAACGUAUAGAUGAAAUAAGGAAAUAGUGACGUAAUGCUGCAGGAGGUUACCAUGCAUGCAUAGAUAAAGAUUAUGAAAUGAUGGUAGGACUGAAUAUCCUUGUAGGAUGCCAAAAGUUUUAGUCAAAUGGCAUCACAUGCAAGACUUGAAGAUAAAGUGGUAGUACGUCAGUUUGCUACAAAUGAACACGUGGGUCCAGUUUGCAUGAGAUGAUUAUUUGGGGUUGAGCUUUGAGUUAAUCAAAUGUGUCAGAAUGAGAUAAAGAUAAGUCAAGAUGAGUACGACAUGGGCUAAAGUGUUUAAACUUUGGCGAUGCAUGCACUUGGACUCAAAUAUGGGCACUAACAUUGCAUGGUUCCUCAGGAUUCUAUAGAAAGAGUUUCAUGUGCAUCCAAAUUGGUCUGAUUCCGUCAAAUCCAACAACCAAUGUCCAAUAAGGAUGGAUCAUUGUCAAGUGGUCAAUUAACGAAUGAGAUGGCUAUCAAUAUUUUUGUUUGUAUCAACUACUUAUCUUCAUGAGUCAAUUAACGAAUGGGAUCGCUAUCAAGAGUUUUAUUUGUGUCAACUGCUUAUCUUCAGGAGGUUCAAAUUGUGGCCAACUACGGAUGUUCAGCGAGAAACAUAAGAAAAUAGUGCUAUAAAUACAUAAGGUUGUGUAACAUUUAAGUCAUCUCCAAUUCAACACACAAACUACCCUGCACAAACCCACGCUCUAUGCAAAACCUCUCAACAACCUUGAGAUUUUUAUUUUCUUUUUCCACUAACACAUCUUCAAUUUGGAUAAACAACACUGUUGUCGUGGAAUUAGGCGAUCGCGGAGCACCUUCAAUUUGGAUAAAUAGCACUGCGUCAAGGCCGACUAGUUAUCUAUCCAAGUCUUGGUUGAGAAACAUUUUCGAAUCCUUAUUGGCAGAGGUCAUCUCAUUAGCCUUCUAGGUGAAGUGAGGUGUUACAAAUUAUUGGGCUCGGCACAUUAAAUGUUGAAUUGUUUAUGAUUGGUUAUUCACAAGUAAGUUUUAGAGUACGGCAUUCUGACGGCCGAACCACAUUCAUAAUCAAGACGUACAUCUCUUUUGAGUACUUGUGUCCGUAUAGUUUGGUGGUUUGGCAUGCUUAUACUCUUUCGAAUAUAAUCACCAUGACCGAACCUGGCGCCAAUGAUCCAUGAACUUCGCAGAACUAGCAGCCUUUUCUUCAGGCUCUAGAACCCGAAGGUCGAGACGUGUUCCUUCCUUGGUUGCAGUUGCAAGAUCAAGAAGUUAGCAGCGCGCCCAACGUGACGUCAACACAUUUUACUCCCUGGCCGAGCUCGGCCGAUGCGUUAGCACGCCCAACAUACAACCGAAUGACGUAGUUAGCUUUUUAAUUACUCGGCAUGUGCGCCACGUAGGCUUGGUAGUUUUUAGGAUCAACAAUAUCAUAAGUAAUUGGUAAGAAUACAUAAUAUUGCUAGGUAACAGUGGAACCCUAGUGCUUUUAUAAAUUGGUAUUUAAACUCUUUUCUUUUAUCAUAUUAGUUUUGGGCGAAUUUACUAUUUGUAUUUAAUUAAAAUUUGUUUUUAAUAUUACCCAAAUUCAAAAUCUCCUUUGUCAACUUUUAGUCUUAAGUAGUUUAUUAGGAAUUGUUUUUGCUUAAAUUAUUAAAAUUGUUCUUGUGGGGAACGACGUUGCAUGAGCAUCUAUACUACAACAACCUUGUACUCUUGCAAGUAUUUUGUGUGAUUUUACCCUUCUUUUUUUAGGUACUAAAAAUCUUAUCAAUCACCUAGGAAGGAAAAACAAUUUUUCACAAGUUUAGAGGCUGAGAUCAAAUUUCUUCUUAUCUUUGGCACAUAAAGCACUUAUUCAAUUGUAAAAUGAAACCAGAAUUCAGUUUUAACCUAAUUGACCCAACAACUUUAACUGCAACUUUUGUCCCUUCCCCCACAAAAACAUUAAAACCAUGCAUUGAGUUAGUUAUGUGAAUUGUGCAGCCGGUAUCAAACCACCAUGAGUUAAAUGGAACCUCAAUUAAGUUUGACUCUACACAUACAUUAACUAUUUUUUUUCCCAUUAGCUUUUAGAUAGUCCUUAAAUAGUUCACAAUCUUUUCUUAAAUGACCUUGAGUUUUGCAGAAAAAACACUUAAGUUUAGCUAUGUUUUUAACUUUAGGUUUAAGAUUGUUAGACCCUUUGGAAGAUUCAAAUAUUUUAGCAGAAAUACCAGUCAUAUCAGAAUUCCUAGAGUUCUUGAAGUUCUUACCUGAAUUAUUUCUAGUAUUGUAUGAUUUCUUCCCUCUUCCUCCUUGCACAAAAUUCGUAGUCUCAACAUCUUUGCAUUUUUCUUGCCUUUGUCGAGUUUCUUUUUUAACAACAAGCCAAUUUCUCUCCUCCAUUUCUUGUAGUUACUCCCGCCAAUAAGAAUUGGGAUAUUUGCUAAGUUCAAAGUCUUCAAGGAUAUUGUAGACACUGUAGAUGAAAUCACAAACAUGAAUCAAUUAUGUUCCUGAUUUCUUUUGCAGUUUGCACAUCAUAACUUAAAUUAAUGAUCCAUACAUAUAGACUUAUCAACCCAUGGUUGAUAAGCAUACAUAGAAUGACUGACUCAUCAAGAACUUAGUAAAUCACAAUCAGAUAUGCAAUAAUAGACAGUUCUCAUGCAUGUUGCAGAUGAUUUAUUUUAUUUUAUUUUUUAUUUUUUAUAUUUUUUGCAAGAUAUCGAAAUAAUUGCAUUCUUCAUCAGAAUAGUUAGUCUUUUAUAUAAAGGCUUCAUCAUUAAUAUCACAGAAUGUUAAAUUUCCUUGAACUAAUUUUGAUCAUCCUGUCUUCUACAUCAGAAUUUUGAUAAAACUCAAAAGAAAACCUAAAUUCAAUUUAUGCAUCAGAAUAAACUUGGAUGCAUGACUUCUACAAGGCAGUAUGUAAAACAAGACAUACCUUCGGUAGAUGAUUUCAAUUUGGAACAGCGCAGCGGAAUCAGUCAUCCAAUUGAACGAAGUUUAUUUUUAAUUCACAAGGGAAAACCCAAACAAGAUUUCAUAUGAAGAAGUUUUAAUGGAAACCUAAUCAGAAAGCCCCCAUCCAAUAGAAUUAUAGGAAAUCUAACGGUAACAUUUUUCAGAAAUCCAACGGUAAAUUUUCAAAGCUGUUUUGUUGUUAUCUGUUUAUUUGCAACCUGGAACCCGUGUUCGAUUCCUCAUGUUUGCAGUUUUUUUAUUUAUUUACAAACCAUUCGAUUUUAAGGCUGAAUCCAUAAACAUGUAAUUCAGGCUCAAAUACCACAUGUUAACAUAAACAUAUCACCAGAAACAUGCAAUAUGAACCACAGUACUUCAAAUACAAACCCAUGUCCAUAAACCCUUCAACACAUAAGGAAAAACUUACCUGUAGAUGAAUUCAAGGAAGCAGCAAUGCUCAAUUUCUGCAGCAAAGUAGCAGUGCACCUUCUCCUCUCUUCAGUAAUCAAAUUGCUCUUAACUAAUAAUAGAUCUUAGUCCAAAUCAAGCAACUCUAUGUCUAGCAAUAGAUUUAGAUAAUCGAAACUCUUUACGCUCAAUGGAUAAUUAUACGAAAAUGCACAAAUCAUAACCACCAUGUCUACUCAAUGAAGUAAUUCAUAGUGAUUGUUAUGGGAGCCAAUUUACUAAACACAACCUAUCAGUCACAAUUUAGUUAUUCACACAAAUAAAUGUCCAAUUAUUUGAUAACAAUAAAGCACAAUAACAAUUACUCAACAUGAAAAAUAACUUAGAUUAAUAUAAAAUAAGAGUAUUAGAUGUUCAUGAUAAGAGUACACACUAGCCCUAACAAAAGGACUCAAUUCAUGAUAAAAUUAACGGAACUUUAACGAAAAGCUUCCGGUACUAUUCACUUUAACAAAAAAUCAUAUUUUUACACUAAAAAGUCAAUCCUAGUACUAUUUACUUUACCCUUUAUUUUAUCCUUAGUGUUAAAACUCAAAAUUUUCAAGCUAUUUUCAUUAGUUUUCCUUAAAAUUAAAGUACACAAGGCUGAAAUUCGAAAACAUAGAGAAAAACAACCGGAAUUUCAAUCUCUGCUCCACAGCAAAGCUUGAAUUGUCCAAUUAAUUCCUUCCUCAUGCUCUCAGCUUCUCUCCCUCCCUGUAUGUGUGUUGCGCAGGGAGAUUCUCCGCAAUUUGUGCCGCAUAUCCCUUUUUAUAUUAUCUUCUUCUCUUCCUUUUGUCUCACGCAACAAGGAGAUUAAACCAAUUAAUCCACACCAAUUAAACCAAUUCGCACCGCUUGACUGGGAACGGACCAGCCCAAUUAGAGUAGGAAACAUACAACCGUAGUGUGUUUUUCAUAUUUUCCCGUAAAAUACAUGUUUUUUUCUCUCAAAUUAUAAUUUCUACCAAAAUCGCACAAAACGCAUUAAACCUAACAAAAUUAUGACUAAAAUUAGGUAAAAGAGAUACAACAAAUAUGUAAAUAUCAACCUAACAAUAUGCCAUUAGGUUUGUAAUUAGGAUCGAAGAAGUUAACUACUUUUUUUCUUUUAAUGGCUCUAUUAAAGGUCUAGCAAGGCAUUAUGUUUAAUCAUUUCUAACUAUGAAGAACUAAAUUCAUGAGCCCACUGAUCGUGAUGCAAUAAAAUUCAGUUCCAUUUUACUUUUAUUGUUCCGCAUGAUUAAUCAAAUUUCACAUAAAUGUGUGGAGUUAAAUAUUUGGUCUUUAUGUUUUAUGGAAGUUUGUACAACAAAAUUUUUAAGAUUGCACAUGAGUUACAUGUAUGUAAAUAGUAUUGCUUACCGUAUGUGUGUGUGUGUGUGUAUUUAUUUAGAAUUUUCUACAUGUUUCAUACGGCUUUAAACUUCGCAUCAUCACGUGGACACCUUCGCUAGUAAAACAUAUGUCACAAUGACAGAUUAUGUUAAGUCACCACAUUAAUAUUUAAUAAUAAAGUAAUAAUCAAUUUCAACAUAUCACAGCCCGUCCCGAAAUAAUUAGUUUCGACAGUGUGAAAUGACGACUUUACCCUUAGACGUUGAGAUUGUGAUGUGUGUGUGGCAUACUUUUGGGACAUAGACUAUUAUGUUGAGUUCCUAAGUUUUGGACUCAAUUAAAAGUUAAACUUUUGUUUGUUUUGGUUGGUGACCAAGUAAGGACACACACACACACACAAAAGCACCCCGUGCACUCUCUCUCUCUCUCCUUCUCUCGACCUUCCUACCAUUUCGGUACAAAACGUAUGGACGAACACCCAACUCACAUUUCACGCACGGAUCAACGUCAAGAAGGUAAGAUUCGAACUCCUUGCAAGUCUCUAAGUUCAUAUAUGCCAUUUUUAGAUUGUGAAACCCUCAAAACCUUGAGAAACCAUCACCCCCGAGUUGAGUAAUGUUCAUGUGGUCAUAAUUAUGGAUGUUUUAGGGGAUUUUAAGCUAGUAGGAAGCUUUAGGACGUUCUUACGAAGCUUGGAGAAGAAAAACCAAGCAAAUUGGACAUCGGGAAGUCGAGUUCAGAGAGUUUGAAAUUUGGCCGGAAUUAUCGUGCCAUCUCCAGCGAGAUCCCAUGAUUUUUGGAGCUUGAAAUUGGUAAGAAUAUGUUCUAAUCGUUGUAAGCUUCAAUUUGAUUUAAGUUUCAUGAAUUUUGGUGCAAAAAUGAAGAAGUUAUAAGGAUUUUUCGGUUUUCCAUUUUCCGGGCGACGGUCGCCGGAGUUCGAAGGUAGGAGAUGACGGAAUAUUCGGUCAAUAACGGUGUUAGUUAAUUUUAACGGAAUAUUCCUAACGGCCGUUAGGCCUCAGUUAAGGUUUGGCCGCGCGUGGGGGCGCGUAAGACCGUGUCCUUGCAGGCGCGUGAUGGCGUGUGAGGGUUCCAAAAAUUAUUUUAAAAUUUUGGGCGUGUUCGUGGAGUUGUGUAGGUCACGAUAGUAUAUUUAUAUACCUCAUUUGAGCAAUGUAUGAGAAGUUAUUAGCUAGUAUUGGUUAUGUGCUUUAAAUUAACGUUUUUAUAGUUGUUUCGCAUAUAGGGGAGACUAUCCUGAGGACGAGCGCAGUCAAGGACGACUCGGGGGCUACGACCCUUCGACCUACCAGUGAGUGGGCUUUUGGUUUUCAGUAUAUAAUUAUAUACUUGAUAUUUUUCCCAUAAAAUGUGUUUAAAUGAAAGUAUGCUUUGAAAUGUCAUGCUAAAUUUAUAUUCAGCAUAUGAAUUAGUAUAUGAUGCAUAAUAUGAAUUGGUGUUGUGGACGCUCAGGUAAGUUAUGUUUGUUAUAUGAGAUAUUGAUAAUGUGAUACAUGAUUGAGAGCUCAUAAACUUGCACCCCGGGUGAUUGUGAUUUAGCCAGAGAUAUAGUACAAGCAUAUUUAUAAUGUCACCUCCCGCACCAUAUGCUCACAUUGGAUCCAAUUUAGGUGCACAGUCUUGUCGUACAGACGAUUAUAGGUGGUUCCGACUUGUAGGUGACUAGCGAUUUAUUGCACAGCUAUCAUGAGAACAUAGCAUUGAGCAUAACUAUAUUACACCCAGUCUUGUCAUUCAGACCUUUGCAGUGGUUCCGACUCAUGUGCAGUGUAGUGCCGUUUAGGUCACUUACAGUGACUCUGGUUAGAUUGACUAAUGAGCUAUGAAUUCAGCCGUACAGACUUCUGCAAGGGUUCCAGCUAAUAUGUUAUUUAUCCAUGAAUUUAUUUUCACCUGAGUUAAUUAUUAUGUGUUAUGUUUUGGCAUGGCAUACUUAUGAAUAUGGAUAUGUGAAGCAUGAUUUGAAUAUAUAUAUAUAUAUAUAUAUAUGUUUAUAUUCCAUUUCUGGGAAAGUUAUACAUGUUUUACGGCGAGGGGUUAGAGCUUUUGAUAAAUGAAAUGGUUUUGAAAAGCUUUAUUUUUGCCCACUCACACUUUCUGUUUUGCGCCCCUCCAGGUUUUAGAUAAGUUUGUUCGUUGGUGGCUCACGAGGAUUAGUGGAGGUUCUGACAGACUAUCACAAUUGUAGGGCAUCUUUGGGUGUCGUUUAAUUAGUACUUAUUUUUUGGAUUGAACUUAGGCUACUUACGCUCUGAUUGUGUAUUCACACAUAUUCUAGCACUUGUCUUAACUAGUACUCUUAUGGAUUUGACUUUUAUUUAUUCGUAUUCUCUAUUAUCAUUAUUGCUUCCACACUGUGCACAUGGCUACGUCACUCUCACGUGACUGUCGGCAUGCCACGAUUUCAGUCGGGGUGUGUCACAACAUGUUUAAAGUAUGAUCAUUGUUGCAUGUGGAAAAAUUCACAAGUAGUAAAUCCACCACCGGUUCGUUUUAUUUUGAAUUUAUUAUUAUCAAAGGAAGGCAGAUACUUUUCUUGUUUGCAUAUGGUGCAAUAUUAUGCUGAAUAGGGUGUUGGAUUUCUACCCAUGCGUCUCAGAUUUGACCCCUCCCCUAAAAUAUUAUAGUAGUCUUGAACUCUCUCCACAUCCUAAAAAAGAAGAGGAAGAGGGUUUGACACUCUUACAAUAAUUUAGAAGAUAAAGAAAUUCUAAACCUAAAACACAUGAUGAGAACAUUCUAUCCAUAUAGUGAAUUGCAACUGCAUGUUUCUUUUGCUUGCGUGGUGUGCACUAGCUCCAAUAGCAAAUGCUUAGAGAAUAUGAUAACAUUAUUUAAAUUUGAAUGUAUUUACUUAACCACUUUAUUACCAAGUAAAUAUGGAUGACUUAAUUCUACAAGUUUCAUGUAACCCCUGCAAUGUUUGACAUGCUUCCCCUGAAAUUCUACAAGUUUUAUGUAACCCCUGCAAUAAUUGAAUUGUUCCCCGAGCCAAUAAUUGAUACGUUUGGUUAAUCUAGAGUCUAAAGGUUUCAAAUUCUGGAAUAAUUGACAUGUUCACGAUCUGCAAUAAUUGACAUGUUUUUCUCGAGCCAAUAAUUGAUAAACUUGGCCACUCUAUAGGUUUCAAAUUCUAGACCCUAACUUGCCACUUAGUACUACGGUCUAAUAGUAUUCAUCUUUAUUUGUACGUAAGAGGUCUUAGGUUUGAUUCUAUUCAAAGACGAAUUUGAACCAAUUUAUGGCUAGCCAAUUGUGAGGCUAAGAUGUUCAAUUCUAGUCAAAGACGAAUUUGAAAUAUUUUAUUGCUAGUCAAUUAUGAGGCUAAGCUCACUUCCUCCCCUUUAAUCCCCUUUAAUGUAAAAAAAAUAUCAUCUUAUAUAUAUAUAUAUAUAUAUAUAUAUUCUAAACCCAACUUAUUUUUAUCCGUCAUCCAACUCACUUUCACCACCUGCAAUUAUUGACAUGUUUUCCCCGAGCCAAUAAUUGAUAAGUUGGUUGCUCUAGAGGUUUUUCCAACUAAUUUUUUCCAUCGUCCAACUCACUUUCACCAUUAGAUUAACCAGAGUGGUUUGCACUGUGUACAUGUAUUAAUUUAUAAAGAGAUAUUUGUCGAUUUCCUCCCAAACUUGUAAAGAGUUGCUAAUUUUCUUUAUGAAUUUAAUUUUAGCAUAUUACUCUCUCAACUUUUAUAAUUAGCUAAUUUAUUUUGGAAUUUUCUAUUCAAUUUUCUAUCUGUUUUGGUCAUAUGGCAAACGUUUGAGGGCAAUAAAGUAACUUUAUUCCUAACAGCAUAUUGCUUUUUUUAUUCUUAUUCUUAGUCAAUUUUAGCCAAUUACUCUCUCAACUUUUAUAAUUAGCUAAUUUCCCCUGACAGAUUUUGGAAUUUUCUACCGAUUUGGUCAUAUGACAAAUGUUUGAGGGCAAUAAACUAACUAUAUAUGUUGAUGCACAAAAUCAACAAGGACCUUGGUACAAUAGAAAGUGUUAAGUUUAUGACCUUCGCUAGAUUGCUCCGGUCACUAGUCUGGAUAAGUAUGUAACUGGAUAGGGAUAGGGAGGCAAACACAAGAUGUACGUGGUUCACCCAAAUUGGCUACGUCCACGGAUUAGAGGAGUUCUCAUUAAUUAUGAAGGGUUUACACAAGUACAUAGGUUCAAGCUCUCCUUUAGUGAGUACUAGUGAAUGAUUUAGUACAAAUGACAUUAGGAAAUAUUGUGGGAGAAUGAUAUCCUUUUAUAGAAGAGUUUCUAGCUUUGUUCUGACAUUGACACGUGUCGUGUUGUGAUUGGCUUCUGAUGUUGACACGUGUCGCACUGAGAUUGGCUUCUGAUGUCGACACGUGUCGCAUUGUGAUUGGCCUCCUAGUUGGAGGGAAACUCUUCUGGGUCAUUGACGGUAUAACGUUGACCGGUGCUCAGUAGUUUCGGGAUUGGUCAAGUAUGGUACAAACAGUGCUCCCCUAAGUUCCCGAGUGAGGGAAGCUCCUCGGUUGGGGACUUGCAAGAUCCAAGCCGCUGAGUAAUCACGAAACUUCUAAGUACCGAAAUGUGGUAUCGUCUUCACUUGCCUUAUCUGUCUCAUAGGUAGAUGUGGCAUCUUCUGUAGAAGUAUUCUUUCUCCAUCCAGGGGUGGUAUCUUUAACCGGUGGAGAUGCACAAGGUAAUGUAUCAAUUUCACUUGAAGCUUACUUGUAGUUUCAGGCUUGGUCAAGCGCGAUACAAACCAUGUAGUAGGAGUCCCCCAAGUUGCCGAGCUAAGAGCUCUGUCGAAAAAGGUGAUAGAUAAGGUAAGCAAUCAGAACUCUAAGCAAUCAGUCCCAGAUCAAAAGUUUGAUUUCGAGUUCCGGCUGAUUAUUCUCAUUCUCCCUAUCUUGCAGGCAGCAUGAAUGAUAAAGAGAAGAAAAAGGAGAAUAGAUUAUAUGAGGUACUUUUGCUUUUGAAAAAGUAACUUUCCACAAGCUUAUUCUUGAACUGGGUUGGAGGGUUUUCUGGUUUCCUCCAGAGUAUAUGGCCGACUCAAGAAUUUGAAGGUCAAAAUAAGUCCAUCAAAUCUAAAGUACGUUCGACCAUGAUGAUAUGGGAUACGUUUGAUGUUGACAAAGUAGUGGAUGUAUCGGCACGUGUUCUGUUACGCUUGUCUCCACAUGUUUCCUUGUAUCAUUCUCACUUGCCCUAUCUGUUCCUCAAGCAGAUGUGGUAUCUUAUCUGGAAGCAUAAGAUGUUGAAGAUAAGUACUCGAGAGCAAUGCCAAGUAAGUAAUCAGGCAAGGGGUUCUAGGCAGUCAGUUCCUUACUAGAAGCUUGAUUCCAAAUGCUGACUGAUUGCUCUCUUUCUCAUUGUCUUGCAGGUAAGAACAAGGGUAAAGGAAAAGACAGGGAAAAAGCAUGAUAUGGGAUACUCUUGCUUUUAACCCUAAUGAUAUGAGAUACUCUUGCUUUGGUGUGGCUGGUUUGCAUAGGUAUUAUUGGAGGGGGGGAAGAAAGUUGAGUAUUUCGAAAGGUUUCGUUGGGAGUGCCCUCUCAGAUAUGAGGAAGGGUUGAGCAUUUUUACAGGUCUGCCUGUCCGUGGAGGAUGGAGAUCGAUAUAUAUAGGAGUCUCUCUAACAACAAGUAGUAAUGAUAUUCCUUUACCCUUCUUGGUCAUAGCAAUGUAGUGGGAGCUGCAAGCUUCACGUGUUUUAACUUUGUCAGAGCACUUUGAAAAAGUAGUAUGUGGUAUUUGGAAAUCUGAUGUUGCGUGUGAAGAUUGCAGACAAGCUUUAUCCAAGGAAAUCUGGCUCUCGAAGUUCGGAGAGCGGUGCUUCUUCGGUUUUCAAACAAGCAAUCCUGUCGGGGAUCUGGCUUUCGAGAUUCGGAGAACGGUGCCUCUUUGAGUUUUGAGAAAGCAAUCCUGUUGGAAGUCUGGCUCUUGAUAUUCGGAAAGCGGUGUCUCUUUGAUUUUUGAGAAAGUAAUCAUGUUGGGAGUCUGGCUCUUGAGAUCCGGAGGGUGGUGCCUCUUCGAUUUUUGAGCAAGUAAUCUUGUUGGGAGUCUAGCUUUUGAGAUUCGGAGAGCGGUGUCUCUUCGAUUUUUGAGAAAGUAAUCCUGUUGGGAGUCUGGCUCUUGAGAUUCGAAGAGCGGUGUCUCUUCGAUUUUUGAGUUGUUGGGAGUCUGGCUCUUGAGAUUCGUAGGGCGGUGCCUCUUCGAUUUUUGAGCAAGUAAUCUUGCUGGGAGUCUGGCUCUCGAGAUUCGAAGAGCGGUGCCUCUUCGAUUUUUGAGCAAGCAAUCUUGUUGGGAGUGUUUUCUCGAAUGUGAGUAAAGGUUGGGCAUUUUUUCCAAUCUGCCUUGCCACGGAGCACAGAGGUUAACACACAUAAGGACUUUCUAGUUAUCAAGCAGUGGUGUUGUUCCUUUACCCUUGUGGGUAAUAGUAGGGUAGUUGGACCUUUAAAAUUUACAUGUCUAAACUUUGUCAGAGAUCUUUGGCAAAGUUAUUUGUGGUACCCGAGGAGCUGAUGUUGCAUGUGGAAAGUGGUGCCUCCUCGAAAUCCGGAGAGUGGUGCCUCUUCGAUUUUUGAACCAACGGCCAUGUUGCCUUUUCUUUUAUAAGGGCACCAAUUGUGUGCAAGAAGUACAUUCAGAGAGUUAUUGCUUGUAGGAAUUUUCCCCUUAUUUUUGUAAUUCAGAGAUUUAUUAGACCUCAUUUCUCCUUCAUCAUUUCUGAAAAUGUCUGGCCCAUCCGACAGUCGUUUUGACUUGAACUUUGGUGAAGAGGCAACUAUGUCUCCUCAAGACAACAUAUGGCGCCCAUCCUUCUUAUCCCUUGCUGGUCCUAUUACCGUUGGAGACUCUGUGAUGAAGAAUGAUAUGACCGCUACGGUGGUGACCAGGAACCUUCUCACUUCUAAAGAUAACAGACUACUUUUCAAACGGUCUGAUGAGUUGGCUAUAAAAGAUUCCCUGGCUUUCAGUGUUCAGUGUGCAGGUUCUAUGUCUAAUAUGGCCCAACGCUUAUUUGCUCGAACCUGCCAAGUUGAAUCAUUGGCGGCUGAAGUGAUAAGUCUCAAAUAGGAGAUAAGAGGGCUCAAGCAUGAGAAUGAACAGUUGCACAGGCUUGCACAUGACUAUACUACAAACAUGAAGAGGAAGUUUGACCAGAUGCAGGAAUCUGAUGGUCAGAUUUUACUUGAUCAUCAGAGGUUUGUGGGUUUGUUCCAAAGGCAUUUAUUGCCUUCGUCUUCUGGGGCUGUACCGCGUAAUGAAGCUCCAAAUGAUCAACCUCUGAUGCCUCCUCCUUCUGGGGUUCUGUCCAGUAUUAAGGCUCCGAAUGAUGACCUUUCGGUGCCUUCUCUUUCUAGGACUCUGUCGAUUGCUGAGAUUUCUUCUAAGCAACCUUUGUGAAUGCUCUCUCUUGUUUGUUUAUUUUGACUCAUGUAUAUGUACAUAUUUGUAACUUAUCGGAGAUAUCAAUAAAUAAGUUUUGCUUCAUUUCAACGUAUUGUGUUAAAUGCACCAAAGUUUUCUUCACUAAGUUCUUUGAAUUUUUUUCUUUUGUUGAAGCAUGUAUGUUAAGCUUUGUGAGUGAAGCAUGUAGGUUGAGGUAGUGUUCCCUUAAUUUCCCGAGUGAGGAAAAUUUCUCGGUUGGAGACUUGAAAAAUCCAAGUCACUGAGUGGUCGUGAGACUUCCAAGUAUCAAGAUGUAGUAGCAUAUGGUAGGAGUCCCCCAAGUCUCCGGUCGAGGGAGUUGACAAAGGAGGUGUCUUGCUAGUAGCCAAGCUUCUAAAGUAACAAAACUUCACCAUUUUCCUUUCUAAGUGGUAGCCCAAAACUCCUCCUUCAUAUAUAUUUGUUAUGAAAGUUGUUAGGCCCAAAGAAAAGGAGGCCUAGGCAAAUUAUUUUUUUUUCGAUUUUUCAAAUUUUUGAAUUUCUGAAUUUUUGAAUUUUUGAAUUUUCGAAUUUCCGAAAAAAAAUAUAUAUAUAUAUUAAGCUUUGUAAGUGAAGCUUUGGUAUUGAAGCUUUGUUGGGUACCAUGAAUUGAUUUUGCUUCACAUUAUCUUGAUCAAGAGUGUGUGAAGCUUUUGUGGGUGAAGUUUUUGUGAGUGAAGCUUUUGUAGGUGAAGCUUUUGUGGGUUAAGCUUUUGUGGGUUUUGUGGGUGAAGCUUUUGUGGGUUAAGCUUUGGAGUUGAAACUUUUGUUGGGUACCAUGAAUUGAUUUUGCUUCACACUAUCUUGAUCAAGAUAGUGUGAAGCUUUUGAGAAUUUGUAGUUGUCCACCAUUGAUGAAGCUUUUGUGUUGAAGCUUUGUAGGGUACCAUGAAUUGAUUUUGUUUCACACUAUCUUGAUCAAGAUAGUGUGAAGCUUUUGAGAAUUUGUAGUUGUCCUCCAUUGAUGAAGCUUUGUUGAAUUUCCCUUUUUUUGUUUUUUUUUUGGGAAAAUUAGAAAUUUGAAAAUGGGAGGGAGACAACAUAUACAAAUUUUGCUUCCACAUUGUUGAGCAAGAGAUUGUAAUGCAAGCCACAGUAGUCGAAGGUUUGAAUGAACCAUAUAAAUUGAAUUUGCUUCGAACAUUCAUAAUCAAGAGUGUGUGAAGCUUUCUACGAGUUGUAGUUGCCCUCUAUUGAUGAAGCUUUUGUUGGUGAAGCUUUUAUGUUGAAGCUUUGUAGGGUACCAUGAAUUGAUUUUGCUUCACACUAUCUUGAUCAAGAUAGUGUGAAGCUUUUGUGUUGAAGCUUUGUAAGGUACCGUGAAUUGAUUUUGCUUCACACUAUCUUGAUCAAGAUAAUGUGAAGCCUUUGAGAAUUUGUAGUUGUCCUCCAUUGAUGAAGCUUUGUUGAAUUUCCCAAUUUCCUUUUUUUUUUUUUUUGUUUGGGAAAAUUAGAAAUUUGAAAAUGUGGGAGAGACAACAUAUACAAAUUUUGUUUCCACAUUAUUGAGCAAGAGAUUAUGAUGCAAGCCACACCUUAUAAUAGUCGAAGGUUUGGAUGAACUAUAUAAAUUAAAUUUUCUUCGAACAGUCUUGAUCAAGAGUGUGUGAAGCUUUCUACGAUUUGUAGUUGUCCUCCAUUGAUGAAGCUUUUGUUGGCACCAUAAAUUGGUUUUGCUUCACACUGUCUUGAUCAAGAGUGUGUGAAGCUUUUGAGAAUUGUGGUUGAACUCCAUUGAUGAAGCUCUUGUUGACACCAUAAAUUGGUUUUGCUUCACACUGUCUUGAUCAAGAAUGUGUGAAGCUUUCUACGAGUUGUAGUGUUUGCAUUGUUACAGAUGAGAAAUGUCUGAAGCAGAUGCAAGAGGGCUGAAUAGCUUGAUCUUCGUAUGCCAUGCACUGAAGUUGUUGUUGGCUUACAAUAAGACUUUGUUGGUGACUAUAACUCUUGUUGGGCAUAAGUGCUCCCCUAGUUAAGUUGUCAAGCUUGAAGGUUUUUGAUUAUUUGUGAAUGCUAGGAGUUCACAUGUACAAGUUGUACCAUUCAUCUUUUGGUAGGUGGAAUGAAUGGUGAGUUACUUUCAUCACUUGGUUGGUGGUACGAAGGUGAGUUCCUUCAUCACCUUUCAUCACAUUUCAUCAAUUGGUUGGUGGCACGAAAAUGAGUUCCUUCUUCACUUAGUUGGUGGCAUGAGUGGCAAGUUGCCAAAUAAUAUUAGAGUACGGGUUGUAUAUUUCACCACUUGGUUGGUGGCAUAAAGGAGAGUACGGGUUGUACAUUUCAUUACCUGGUUGGUGGCAUGAAGAUAAGUUCCUUCUUCACCUGGCUGGUGGCAUGAGUGGCAAGUUGCCAAAUAAUGUUAGAGUACGGGUUGUACAUUUCAUCACCUUGUUGGUGCUAUGAAGAAGAGUACGGGUUAUACAUUUCAUCACCUGGUUUGUGGCAUGAAGAUGAGUUUUUUCUUCACAUUUCAUCACCUGGUUGGUGAGAAUAAGGGCAAGGUGUCGAGGCACAUUGUAGCAAGUGUCGAAUGACACAAAGUAUGUUGAACCCUUUCGAAGCACAGUUGGCUUAUGUAUGGAUGUGUUGGAAUGUAUGAUGUUUAUGUAUGAAUGUGUUGAAAUGUAUGAUGUUUAUGUUGAUUGAUAUGAGUAAUGCUUAUGAAUGUUUUGCUAUGCAUGAAGGGAUCCAUGCUUUUGAUAUGUGAACCAUGUUGGUUAUAACACUUAGUAUCACAUAAUUUGUGUCAAAGUACGCAUGUUGAAUCUCUGAGUUGGAGUAUAAGGGUAGGUCAGCGUAGACCAAGUGUUCCAGUGCUAGGAACGCAAAAGACUCAAAAGAAGUUGUCUGAAUUCCCUUUUCUUUAAAUAUUUUCCGAAUGGCUUGUGUGACAAAAGAUCUCAAACGGUUGAGAGUCAAAACAUUUGUAAUGUGUAUGCCUUCUUAUAAUAGUAUUUCCUUCAGUACCUAGUCCUCCACUUUGAAAGAGUGAGGCUUGGCCCCAUAGUCAUAAUAGUCGACGGUACGUUCACCCCUGGUUGUCUUGAUACGAACUUUUAUCCCUAUUAUUGUAAUGGGUUUGCUGAGAGUAAAAAUCCUUCCUCUUACCAAGAGACAGAUACGUUUGGUGACUUAGUGAGUAGCUAAAUGAGGCAGGAGAUGAUGCAAUGGGUGUCUGAAUGGCCAAGAUCUCCUCACUUGGUAGAACUUGACUUCCACUUCCCACUUGUUGAUAGGGGUUAACCAUAUGGGGGUUCCUUUCGUAUGUCCUUGCUUCGGCGGAGGUGUGGUUGUAAGCCUGUGCCAUCACCUCAGAGUAAGUCUUCCAACUGUUGGCAUUGAUCAUGUAUUUGAAGAAACAAUCAUGUACGCCUGCCAUGAAGGCCUUGAGGGCGGUCUUGUCAUCUGCCUCAGCGCAACGAGAAUACUCAUGGCUAAAGCGACCGGCAUACUCUCAUAGUGACUCGUCCGGCUUCUGGCGAAUAGUGUACAAGUCAUCUGCAGAAUGCAAGUGAUCAGUCUGAAAGAUGUGUUGAGAGACAAACAGUUUCCUCAGUUCCUCAAAUGAGUCUACUGUCUCGCGUGUUUGAGUAUGCCUAGUUUCAUGGAGCUUCUCAAAGAGCUUCACACACUGCUCCUGGAGGACCUCAUUCUUCAUUGCUAUCUUGUUGUUCUGAGCUUCUGGCUCAUCAACUUUAGCUUGAAGAGCAACCCUCUUUCCUUCCUUCUUUCAUUGCUUCGUACUAGGUGCAAAAGGGGUGUCAUUCUGUGUGCUGUGGCUUCCUUCGCUCCCCAUGUUGGAGAGGGAUGCAUGGUCAAAAGAGAGUGUAUGAAUGGUGGAAACCAGCUUGGCAAAGCUGAAGAGAGUAGGAAUAAGUGUUGUUCCCACAGACGGCGUCAAAUGUUGAUGCAUAAAAUCAGUGAGGACUUUGGUACAACAGAAAGUGUUAAGCUUGUGACCUUCGCUAGAUUGCUCCAGUCACUAGUGUGGAUAAGUAUGUAAAUGGAUAGGGACAGGGAAGCAAACACAAGAUGUACGUGGUUCACCCAGAUUGGCUACGUCCACGGAAUAGAGAAGUUCUCAUUAAUUAUGAAGGGUUUACACAAGUACAUAGGUUCAAGCUCUCCUUUAGUGAGUACUAGUGAAUGAUUUAGUACAAAUGACAUUAGGAAAUAUUGUGGGAGAAUGAUCUCCUUUUAUAGAAAAGUUUCUAGCUUUGUUCUGACAUUGACACGUGUCGUGUUGUGAUUGGCUUCUGAUGUUGACACGUGUCGCGCUGUGAUUGGCUUCUGAUGUCGACACGUGUCGCAUUGUGAUUGGCCUCCUGGUUGGAGGGAAACUCUUCUGGGUCUUGACGGCAUAACGUUGACCGAUGUUCAGUAGUUUCAGGAUUGGUCAAGUAUGUUACAAACAAUAUAUAUACCCAUGUUAACUUGGAAUGAACCUAUAUCAAUUUAAAAUGUACCAACAGUAACUUGAAAUGUACAAUGUUAUCCAUUUCAACUUAAAACGUAUAAAUAUAUCGGCUUAAAACGUACCAAAUACAAACUAUCAUUUAAAAGGAAAUGUACCACUAAAUUCUAUUUUCCAAAGGUACCAUGGUAUGUGAAAAAAAUGGAAAGGUGGGUAAAAUAUGUGCAAAAACAAAAAGCUCACCCUUAAUUUGGUAUCGAUAUUGAUCAAAAGGUGUGUAUAAAAUAAUGGUUAAACUGCUAUUUGACCCCUUGAACUAUUAUCCCAGUUAGAAUUGUCUCCUGAACCAUUUUUUUUGGUAAAUUAACCCCCUAAACUAUUUGAAAUUGGCCAAUUACCCCCAUGUCGGUAGAUUCCAUCAAUUAUUUCGUCAAAUUCAAGGGCAACUUAGUCUUUCCAUCAGCAAUUCUUACUUGUCAACCAUAACCACCAAUAAAAUUAUGACAUAUGGACACAAAAUAAUGUGUAAUGACAAUGUGAUGUAAACAUUUUGUUUUUUUUUUUUUUUAUGUUUUACACAUUAUUUUGUGUCUAUUUGUCAUAAUUUUAUUAGUGGUUAUCAAUAACAAGAAUUGAUGAUGAAAUGACUAAUUUGCCCUUGAAUUUGACGGAAUGGUGGACAAAAUUUAACGGCAAGGGGUUAAUUGACUGAUUUUAAGUAGUGCAGAAGGUUAAUUUACCAAAAAAAAUAUAUAGUUCAAAGGGUCAGAUUUAACUGAGGUAAUAGUUUAGAGGUCAAACUGCAUUUUAUCCUAAAAUAAAAUAUGAAAGAAAUGAAUACGACCGAUAAGGGAGGAUGGAAGAGGGUCAACUGACCGAUUAAUUGAGGAAAGCAAUAGGGGCAUUAUAAAAUUGCUAAUGGUUGCAAAAGAAGAUAGCAGAAACAUAUAUCACGUUGGUUUGUAGGGCCCGACAAUUAAAAAAAAAAGUCGCCAGACCAAUUAAACGGCAUGGACGGUUUGGUUUAGUUGGUUUUUUAUUUUUCGGUGAGUAAACUGAACUGCACCGACUAAAGUCAGUUUGACAAGCGGUUCCUAUAAUUCUUGAACAUUAGUUAACCAAACCGACCUGUGGUAUAGUCAUAACGUGUGGUACAGUGAUUCAUAAUUAAAAAUAAUAAUAAAGAAGGCGGGACACCAAAUUUUACAAAAUUUUAAACAUCUUUGAAAUUUGACAAAUCCACUUCCUUCUCCAUGCCCUCAUCUCUUCCACUUUAUCUUCCUUUCCCCUUUUUCAGUUCCUUAAUUUUUGUCCUCUAUUUUUCUCUCUCUCACAGUGACUUCCAUAUCUACUCUAAUCCUAUGUCCUCACAAGCACCCCUGUUUAUACUUCCUCUCAAACCUUCUUCACGUUUCCCCAUUCGUCCCUCUACUUAUGCCAAAAGAACCCUUCUUCCUCCUCUAAGCCAACUUAGUGGAGAUGGGACUCUAUGCACCAGAAUCUCUUCAAACCUGCCAUCUAAAGCUUUGUUUUUGUAGCAAUUUACCCCAAUUUCGUUAAAAAGCCUUAUAAAUUCGGCCUUGGUUUCGCCCUCUUUCUCACCUCCGCCGCUCACUCCAUUGAUCUGUCUGUCCAUUGCUCCGCUGUCACUCCAUUGAUCUGUCCGUCGCUCUGUCGAAUCUUAUCGCUUCGCCAACCAAUAGGAAGAGUUUACAUUUGGAUGAAUAUUCCUUUUUUUUUUUGUUGGGUAAGUUUGAUUUUCAUUUGUAUCAUUUUUUUUUUUUUGGAUAUUCCUUUAUUAACGAGCCUUUGAUAAUAACUUGUCACAGUAAUGUUUUUCUUGUUCAAAAACUACCCCUAUGCUUAUUCUCUCUUAUGAAUGAUGGUGGAUGACGAUUGGGUUGCAGGGCAGUUUGCAUUUGCUAGCCCUUCUCACUUUAUGGCUUAGAAAUUCGUAUGCAAAUUUUUGGACGGAUUUUUAGGUUAGAGUUUUGAAUUUGAUUCUCUAUAUUCUCACUCAAAUUUUGGAACUUUGCUCUUGUAUUUUAAUUUUGUAUUAUAUUUGUUCUAAUACUGUUGUAGUUGUUUUGUUGGUUUGAUUGCGGCUUCCAUUUUCUCCACUUAACUAGUUCAGGGGCCAUCAUAUGGUUAGUAAAUUGAAGAUGUUUCCCUCAAUUUCAUUAAAUAACUUAAGCUUGAAUAAAUCUUGGUAACCAAUAUAUUUGAAAUAUGUCCAUUGUGAUAAAAAAUCAGUGGGAUUAUCCACUUUGUUUCUUAGGUAUGUGCAUGAGUAUGUCUUGUUUUGAUUGAGAUGUUAAGGGAAAAGCUCCAGUGUAAUAAAGAAUAGUUUGUACAAAGGUCUCUCUGUCUCUUGCCCGCUCUAUCUAUAAUUGCAUCAAAUUACUUUGAUGUAAAUAAAUGGCACUCCUAAUUUCAAGUUGUUUUCUUAUAUGUUUUGGUUGUGGGUGUUUAAUGAAUGGAGACACAAAUGGUGGCUAUAAAUGGUGCGACUCAUGUUCAUGGCUUCUCAGAAAAUGUAUUUGCCUUAUCCAUGUUCUUUGCCUAUUCAUUAUAUAUUUUUUUGUUUUCUUCCUUUAUGUGUAUUUUGAUGUGCACUCGAGUCUUUUCUCACACUAUAUUUUAUUGCUUUAUUUCAAUCUUUUCUGCAAUAAUGAUAGAUUCCCUUGUUCAAGAAACUUGGUUGAAAUGGUAAUUCCCAACUUCAAGUAAUUGUUUAUUUAGUACAAUGAUUGCAAAUAUAUUGACCGAUAGGAGAAUUCAGGUAAUGCUUUUUCGUUAGUUUUGAGUAUGUUUGUUGUUGUCGGUGCUUAUUGAUUUUCAAUACUACUGAAUGUUUGUGAUUUACGUUGUUUAUAAUUUCAAUUGUUCAUAGGUUAACAACAUGUUCAUAGUAUUAACUUUCAAAGACAUUUGAAGGUGUUCAAGGAAAAGUGAAGCCUUUCAACCGACUUUCCUUGUUAUUUGAGGCCUAGUUAAUGAUUCAUGUGUAAUUUGACAUUUCAUAGUAUAAAAUUAAAUCAAUGGUAGUGUUGUUAGCUUUGUACAAUUUGUAAUUCCUUAUUAAUAUGUGAUUAUUUAGAAAAAAAUUGUAUAUAUAGUAAAUUUCCAAUUUUGUGGGUUUAUAUAUAUAUAUAUAUAUAUUUUUAGAUUUUUUUUUAAUAACGGGCAUUACUUGUGGUAAAUUAAUAAUCCACAACGACCAUAGUACCCGUGGUGUUAAAUUCCAAUCUACAACGGGCACUGUCGGUGGUUACAUUAUAUUUGACAACGGGCAUAGCCCGUGGUCGAAACUGAGACUUUUUAUCACAUCCAGAUUACUAACGGGUACGAUGUCCGUGAUGGAUUGCAAUCUAUCAUGAACAUUCACCGUGGUAGAUGAGCAUUUUUCUUCUAGUGAUCGUGAAUCUCUCCAAGUGACAACUCUCUCUCCCACUCCGACGUCAUCCACAAACCAAAAAUUGAUCCAAACCAACCCGCCAUUAUUGGUUAACCGACAUGAUUGGUUUUAGACCCAACUUGAUCAGUUUUGGUUUGGAAUUUUAGCUCCACUGACUAGGUCGGUUUGCUUUUGAUUUUAGCCCAAAGCUGACCCAACCCAACCCAACCCGCACCCACCCCAAGUUAAUUGUAUGGUGUGGAGUUAGGAAGAAAAUGUAUGUUACAAGAGUAACUAUAUCAGGUUUGAUGUGGUUUAAGAUAUUUAAAACUUUAUUAUAUUUUAGGAGAUUUAGGAUAUUAAUAUGUAGUUAUUAAUUAAGGGAAUUGUUAUUAGCACUUUAAAAUUUUCAUUCUACACUUGUUGACUCUAGAAACUACCAAGCCUACGUGGUGCGCAGGCCGAGUAAUUAAUAAGCUAACUACGUCCUUCGGUUGUGUGCGGGGCGUGCCAACUCGUCGGCCAGGGAGUAAAAUGUGUUGACAUAGCAUUGGGCGCGUUGCUAACUUCUUGAUCUUGCGACUGCGGCCCAGGAAGGAACACGUCUCGGCCUUCGGGUUCUAGAACCUGAAGACAAGGUUGCUAGUUCUACGAAGUUCAAUAUCAAAUUCAGCUUCCAAUGUGCCAAAUAUAGUAACAUAUAACACCUCACUUCGUCGAGAAUGCUAAUGAGAUGACCUUUGCCAAUAAAGAUUCGAAAAUCCUUCUCGACCGAGACUUGGAUAGAUAACCAGUCAACCUCGAUGCAAUGCUGUUUAUCCAAACUGAAGGUGCUCCGCGGUUGGCUGAUUAUACGGCAACAGUGUUGUUUAUCCAAACUGAAGAUGUCACCGGUUGCCUUCACAAUGCUGUUUAUCCAAACUAAAGAUGUGUUGGCGGAAAAAGACAAUAAAAAUCUCAAGGUUGUUGAGAGGUUUCGUGUAGAGCGAGGAUUUGCGUAGGGCAAUUUGUGUGUUGAAUAGGAGGGGGCCUGAAAUGUUGCACGGUGUCCUGUAUUUAUAGGGAUGAGUAUGCAGUUGAUAAUUUUGUGGACUCCAAUUGCAACUCUACCACCUCCUCCCCGUGCUAAUACGCGAUAUCACCGCCACAUUUUAACUCUUGAUAAGCCAAUCCCUUUGCUAAUAAUUAUCACAACCUAAAUCGGUGCUAGCCAGGCUCAAAAUUUCAAAUACUUGACCACGUGCAUGCAUGAUAAUGACUCUGGGAAACAAUUCCAAUAAUUCAUUGUAUGCCAUCCUUAUCUCCUACUCAUCCCAUGCAUGAUAUAACUCACGUGGCAUAUCCCCAUUUGACCGGCCAAGUGAAAAUAUUACAGACGCCUCCUCAAGUUGAACCCCAUCGAGUCUAUCAUUAGUGAAAUUUGACGGUUGGGAGAUAUGUCCACCUAAAGGCCUUGAUUGCACGGGCCGAUGAUGUAAUUUUGGGUCCAAACAACACUAUUCACAAGUUUAUUUUUCUUUCUAGUUAUAGAGUUUAAAGUGCAAAAUAUAAUUUUUGGAGUGCCAAUAACAAUUUCUUUAAUUAAUUGGUAAUCUUGGAUAUAAUAGCUUAUGUUUGGCACGCUCAAAGUGUGUGAGAAUAAUUAGAAAGCAAAUGACAGGCUUAAAGUGUGCGAGAAAGUAUAUAAACCGAUCCACAUGCCCCAUGUAUUCAAAAUUAGUAUAGCAAGAGAAGAAUCAAUUAAAACAAUCACGAAACAGCAUAUUUACAUAUACAUAUGAGUUUGAGUAAUGAAGUGGGUGCUACUAGCCAUGAGCUUCUCGGAGCUCAAGCUCAGCUUUGGAACCACAUAUUCCAGUUCAUAAACUCCAUGUCACUCAAAUGUGCAGUUCAACUAGGCAUCGCAGACGUGAUUCACAACCACGGCCAACCCAUCUCUCUUUCCGAGCUCAUGGCCGGGCUCAAGGUCCACCCUUCUAAAGCUCAUUUUGUCUCACGCCUCAUGCGCAUCCUCGUUCACUCUAAUUUCUUUGCACAACAUCAUCAUGUUCAUCAUGAUCGUGCCGAUGUGGAGGAAGAAGAAACAGUUGUAUUGUAUAGCCUAACACCAGCUUCCAGGCUUCUUCUCAAAGACGGGUCAUUAAACACCACACCAUUUUUACUCAUGAUACUCGAUCCGGUAUGUAGUGUAUAUUCAAUUUGGUAGAUAACAUUUAUAGGGUAAAUAUUCUUUAUGUAUACAUCACAAGUCCUGGGAUUCAAUGACAAUGAAUAUAGAAUUUCUAGGAAAGUAUGAAAAACUAAUUCACAAUUAAUUACAACAAUGAUCCUAACUAGGCUUUUAUUCUAUCAGGUAGUGACAACCCCAUUUCACUUGAUGGGAGCUUGGUUGAAGAUAAACGGUGGUGAUGAUCCAGCUGCUACAUGUACACCAUUUGAAAUGGAAAAUGGAAUGCCCUUUUGGGAAUUGGGAGCUAGGGAACCAAGGUUCGGUAACUUGUUUAAUGAAGCAAUGGAGGCUGACUCCAAGCUUAUCGGAAGGGUUGUGGUGGAAGAGUGUGGAGGAGUUUUUGAGGGUUUGAAGUCCCUAAUGGAUGUUGGAGGGGGAUCAGGAACAAUGGCCAAGGCCAUUGCCAAUGCAUUCCCCAACAUCAACUGCACUGUGUUUGACCAGCCACAUGUGGUGGCUGGCUUGCAGGGGACGACCCACAAUUUGGGUUUUAUGGGAGGAGACAUGUUUGAGGAAAUACCUCCAGCCGAUGCAAUUUUGCUUAAGGUACGUAAUAUAUAUCACUCAAUUGUUUAUCUUAUCUUGUUUUUGGUUCAAUUUCCUAACUAAUACCCUUUUGUUAGUAAAAACAUCUCAUCCAUGUCUUUGCAAGUUCCAGCGAGCAUAGUUUGUCCCAUGUACAUGGUAGGGUCCACCUCUAUUAAAGAAAAUAGAGUGAGUGUGUUUAAAUAGAAUAUUGAAUAUAAAAGGCUCCGACUAGUAAGUGCAUUUAAAGUAAAUUGUAGCAAUGGUUCCUCAACUUUAAUUAAAUUUGAGUAAUGGUCCAUCAACUAAAAAUCUAUUACCAUUGGUCCCUCAACUUAUCAAAAUGUGUAACUAUGGUCCUUUUCAUCAAUUUCGUUAGAAUUUUGUCUAAAUAAGUUAUGUUUGAAUGACCAUUGCUACAAUUGGGGUCCCUCAACUCAUUAAAACAUGUAGCUAUAGUCUUUUUCGUCAACUUCGUCAGAAUUUUGUCAAAAUGAGUUAUGUUGGAAGGAUCAUUGCUACAAUUGGGUUAAAGUUGAGAAACCAUUACUCUAAUUGGGUUAAAGUUGAUGGACUAUUUCUCCAGUUGGAUUAAAGUUGAGGGACCAAUGGUAAUGAAUUUUUAGUGAGAGAUCAUAGCUGCACGUUUUGAUGAGUUGAGGGACCAAUAGUAAUGGAUUUUUAGUUCAAGAAUUAUUGCUCUAAUUGAGUUAAAAUUAAGGGACCAUUGCUACAAUUUACUCAUGCAUUUAUAUGCGUACAUACAUUGUUCAUGUAGUUGUGUGUACCUCUCCUCCUUAUAUAUAUAGAUUAAAGGCUCAUUUGGAAGUGUUUUUAAAAUGAUGAAAAACGUUUUUGUUGAGAGUGCUUUUGAAACCAAUCAUCAUUAUAAAAAAAAUGCAAUUGUAUCAUGGAAAAGCACUGUUAAAAAAAACACAUAACUAGUAUUUCUUGUAGGAAGCACUUCAAGUAUUUUUGGGAAUCCAAAAUUACUUUCAUCACCAGCACUUUCAAUCAUUUAAAAAACACUUCCAAACGAGCCCUAAUUAUAGAAAUAUUGUGACAAAUUGAGUAACGUAUGAAAUCAAUUAAUGAUCUGUAUCUCAGUGGAUUAUGCAUGAUUGGAACGAUGAAGAAAGCGUGACAAUAUUGAAGAAGUGUAGAGAAGCAAUAUCUCUUAGCAAAAACGAGGGUGGGAAUAAGAAGAUUAUCAUCAUAGACAUAGUUGUGGGAUAUGUGGAUAACAAGAAGAAGAUGAUGGAUAAGAAAUCAAUUGAAACUCAGCUCAUGUUCGAUAUGUUGAUGAUGUCCAUCCUCCCUGGCAAAGAGCGUAGCAAAUCAGAAUGGGAGAAGAUCUUUUUCGCUGCUGGAUUCACUCACUAUAACAUCACUCAUACACUCGGUUUUAGGUCUCUUAUUGAAGUUUACCCUUGAACAUAAACCUUCCUACUAGUAGUGUAUCAAUAAAAUUAUGUGGAUACACGCUCUAGCUAAUAUAGGUGGCUGCACUAUUAUAUUCCAUAUAUCUAAAAUAAAGAGUGUCAUCAAGCGUCAAUUUUAUGUGACAAAUAAAUAACAAGUUAAGUGUGUUGGUAUAAAUGUUUUUAUAUUGUGUCUUCAAAUAAUAUCACUUAAUUAUGCGCCAUAUGCAUCUAAUUUACAAUAUAUACAAUCAACUAGAUGAAUUGUCUUUUUUAUCUGUUUCUUUGGGUGUGUUUGUGUGUGUGUGUUAUUUUGGAUGGAUUUAGAAUACAAGCUGGAUGGAUGAAGUGGAAGAGUGCAUCUGGCGUGUUGUGUGACCGUCGUAUGCCACUGAAGCUCAAGGGAAAAUUUUAUAUAGGACGGCAAUAAGGCCGGCGAUGCUGUAUGGCACAGAAUGUUGGGCGGUGAAGCAUCAACACGUACACAAAAUGGGUGUAGCGGAGAUGAGGAUGCUUCGUUGGAUGUGUGGGCACACAAGAAAGGAUAAGAUUAGGAAUGAGGAUAUCCGGGGUAAAGUAGGAGUAACCGAAAUUGAAGGAAAGAUGAGAGAAAAUCGGUUACGGUGGUUUGGACAUGUGUAAAGAAGGCCUACUGACGCUCCGAUUAGAAUAUGCGACUAUGGGACAGAGGUUCAGGGCCGAAAGGGUAGAGGAAGACCUAGGAAAACUUUGGAAGAGACUCUAAGAAAAGACUUAGAGUACUUGGAUCUAACGGAGGACAUGACACAGGACCGAGCACAAUUGCGUUCAAAGAUUCAUAUAGCCGAUCUCACUCAGUGACUUGGAUUUUCCAAGUCUCCAACCGAGAAGUUUUCCUCACUCGGGAAAUUAAGGGAAUACUACCUCAACCUACAUGCUCCACUCACAAAGCUUCAACAUACAAGCUUCAACAAAAGAAAAUUCAGAGAACUUAGCGAAGAAGGCUUUGGUGUAUUCAACACAAUACGUUGAAAUGAAGGAAAGCUAUUUAUUGAUAUCCCCGAUAAGUCACAAAUAUGUACAUAUACAUGAGUCAAAAUAAACAAACAAGAGGGAGCCUUCACAAAGGUUGCUUAGGAGAAGUCUCAGCAGUCGGUAGAGUCCCAGAAAGAGCAGGCACUGGAGGGGGAUCAUUUGGAGCCUCAGUACUCGACAGAACCCUAGAAUGAGGAGGCAGCAGAGGUUGAUCAUUUGGAGCUUCAUUACGCGGUACAGCCCCAGAAGACGAAGGCAAUAAAUGCCUUUGGAACAAACCCAUAAAUCUCUGAUGAUCAAGUAAAACCUGACCAUCAGAUUCCUUCAUCUGGUCAAGCUUCCUCUUCAUGUUUGUAGCAUAGUCAUGUGCGAGCCGGUGCAACUGUUUAUUCUCAUGCUUGAGCCAUCUAAUCUCCUGUUUGAGACUCAUCACUUCAGCCGCCAAUGAUUCAACUUGGCGGGUUCGAGCAAAUAGGCGUUGGGCCAUGUUAGACACAGAACCUGCACACUGAACACUGAGAGCCAGAGAAUCCUUAACAGCCAACUCAUCAGACCGUUUGGAAAGUAGUCUGUUAUCUUUGGGAGUGAGAAGGUUCCUGGCCACUACCGCAGCGGUCAUAUCAUUCUUCAUCACGGAAUCCCCAACAGUAAGAGGACCAGUAGGGGAGACGAAGGAUGGGCGCCAUAUGUUAUCUAGAGAAGGCGUGGUUGCCUCUUCAACAAGGUUCAAGUCAAAACGACGGUCGGAGGGGCCAGACAUUUUCAAAGGUGUUGAAGAGUGAAGAGGUCGGACAAAUCAAGAUCUUAGAAGUGCAAGAAUGGAGCUUCUACUGGUGGAGAUUCAAGUGUGCUUUGGAACUUAAUGCCAGGCUCUAUAAAAAUCUGCACUCGACGAAGCUUCAGAAAUCGAAGAGGCGUUUGCUUUCUCAAAAGCUGGGCUGCUCAGAGACCACGAGGCGUUUGCUUUCUCAAAAGUUAGGCUGCUCAAAGACCACGAAGGCCGAUCUCAGAAAUCGAAGAGGCGCUUGCUUUCUCAAAAGCUAGGCUGCUCAGAGACCACGAGGGCCGAUCUCAGAAAUUGAAGAGGCACCUACUUUUCCAGCCUUGUCAGCACCUGUCAGCUUUGCGGAAAUUAUGGGCAUUAUGUCGAAGAUUUCUGGUGAAGUAGAAAACACAUGAAUCUUAGUGUUCAAUCACCCACUUCUCACACGCAACAUUAGCUCAUGGGUACCACAGAUAACUUUGCCAAAGUUCUCUGACAAAGUUGAGACACGUGAAGCUUGCAACUCCCACUACACCGCUCUGACCAAGAAGGGUAAAAGAAUAGCAAAGAAACAGCACUAACAAAGUUUAGACACAUAAAUUUUGAAGGUCUAGCUACCAUAUUAUUACCCACAAGGGUAAAGGAACAGUACCACUGUUGGAUAAUUGGAAAGUCCCUGUGUGUCAACCUCUGUGCUUCGUGGCAAGAUAGACUAGCAAACAUGCCCAACCUUUUCUCACAUUCGAGAAAACACUCCAACAAGAUUGCUUGCUCCAAAAUCGAAGAGGCACCGCCCUCCGAAUCUCGAGAGCCAGACUCCCAACAUGAUUACUUUCUCAAAAAUUAAAGAGACACCGCUCUCCGAAUCUCGAGAGCCAGACCCCUAGCAGGAUGGCUUUCUCAAAAAUCGAAAAGGCAUCGUUCUCCGAAUCUCGAGAGCCAGAUCUCCGACUGGAUUGCUUGUUCGAAAACCGAAGAGGCACCACUUUCCCAACUUCAAGAGCCGGAUCUCCUUGGAUAAAGCUUGUCUGUAAUCUUUACACGCAACAUCAGCUUUCCAGAUACCAUAGACCACUUUUUCAAAGUGCUCUGACAAAGUUAAAACAUGUGAAGCUGGCAGCUCCCACUAUCGUGUUAUGACCAAGCAGGGUAAAGGAAUAGCAUUACUACUUCUUGUUAGGGAGACUCCUAUAUAUGUUGACCUCCAUCCCCAACAGACAGGCAGACCUGCAAAAAUGCUCAACCCUUCCUCAUAUCUGAGAGGGCACUCCCAAAGAAGCCUUUCGAAAUAUUCAGCUUUCUUUCCCCCCGAUAAUACCUCUGCAAACAAGCUAUACUAGAGCAAGAAUAUCUCAUAUCAUCAGGGUUAAAAGCAAGAGUAUCCCAUAUCAUGUUUUUUCCCUGUCUUUUCCUUUGGCCUUGUUCUUACCUACAAGACAAGGAGAAAGAGAGCAAUCAGUCAGCACUUGGAAUCAAGCUUCCAGUCAGGAACUGACUGCCUGGAACCCCUUACUUUAUUACUUACCUGGCAUUGCUCUCGAGUACUCAUCUUCAACAUCUUAUGCUUCCAGGGAAGAUACCGCAUCUACCUGAGGAACAUAUAGGGCAAGUGAGAAGGAUACAAGGAAGCAUGUGGAGACAAGCGUAACAGCACACGUGCCGAUACAUCCACUACUCUGUCAAAAGCAAAAGUAUCCCAUAUCAGCAGGGUCGAACGUACUAUAGAUUUGAUGGACUUGUUUUGACCCUCAAAUUCUUCAGUCGGCCUUAUACUCUGGAGGAAACCAGAAAACCCUCCAGCCCAGUUCAAGAAUAAGCCUGUGGAAAGUUACUUCUUCAAAAGCAAAAGUAUCCCAUAUCAUCUCUUCUCAUUUUUCUUCUCUUUAUCCUUCAUACUGCCUGCAAGAUAGGGAGAAUGUGAACAAUCAGCCGGAACUCGAAAUCAAAGUUCUGAUCUGGGACUGAUUGCUUGGAGCUCUGAUUGCUUACCUUGUCUGUCACCUCUUUCAGCAGAUCCCCUAGCUCGGCGACUUGGAGGACUCCUACUACAUGGUUUGUAUCGCGCUUGACCAAGCCCGAAACUACAAGUAAGCUUCAAGUGAAAUUGAUACAUUACCUUGUGCAUCUCCACCAGUUAAAGAUACCACCCCUGGAUGGAGGAAGAGUACUUCCAGAGAAGAUGCCACAUCUACCUACGAGACAGAUAAGGCAAGUCAAGACGAUACCACACUCCGGAACUUAGAAGUUUCGUGAUUACGAGAUCAUUCUCCCACAAUAUUUCCUAAUGUCAUUUGUACUAAAUCAUUCACUUGUACUCACUAAAAGAGAGCUUGAACCUAUGUACUUGUGUAAACCCUUCACAAUUAAUGAGAACUCCUCUAUUUCGUGGACGUAGCCAAUAUGGGUGAACCACGUACAUCUGGUGUUUACUUUCCUAUCUCUAUCCAUUUAUAUACUUAUCCACACUAAUGACCGGAGCAAUCUAGCGACGAUCACAAAAAGCGAUCGUUUUCGCUACCUAGGAUCUAUCUUGCAAGAGAACGGAGAAUUAGAUGGAGAUCUCAACCAUAGAAUACAAGCUGGAUGGAUGAAGUGUAAGAGUGCAUCCGGCGUGUUGUGUGAUCGUCGUAGGUCACUGAAGCUCAAGGGAAAAUUUUAUAGGACGGCAAUAAGGUCAGCGAUGUUGUAUGGCACAGAAUGUUGGGCGGUGAAGCAUCAACACGUACACAAAAUGGGUGUAGCGGAGAUAAGGAUGCUUCGUGGGAUGUGUGGGCACACGAGAAAGGAGAAGAUUAUGAAUGAGGAUAUCCGAGGUAAAGUAGGAGUAGCCAAAGUUGAAGGAAAGAUGAGAGAAAAUCGGUUACGGUGGUUUGGACAUGUGCAAAGAAGGCCUACUGACGCUCCGGUUCGAAGAUGUGACUACGGAACAGAGGUUCGGGGCCGAAGGGGUAGAGGAAGACCUAGGAAAACUUUGGAAGAGACCCUAAGAAAAGACUUAGAGUACUUGGAUCUAACGGAAGACAUGACACAAAACCGAGCGCAAUGGCGUUCUAGGAUUCAUAUAGCCGACCCCACUUAGUGGGAAAAGGCUUUGUUGUUGUUGUUGUUGUUUGUUCGUAACUUUUUAAUUCAUGUUUGAUCCACCUCUUAUGAAAUGGUAAAUUUAAACUUGAGGGGUGAGAUUUGAAUAUUAUAAAUUUGUAAAACUAGUACCGUUAAACCGAGAAAAUUUGUCCCAAUUCGUCACACUUAACCAUUGAUCAUAUAUGACACACCUUGUGAUCCAAACAUUAAAAAAAUAAAAAUAAAAAUAAAAAAGCCUCAAUGUCCUUUAAUUAUUUGGACAACUUCUGAUUUUUUUUUCAAAAAGGUUUUGAUUGCUAGACUUUUUGGUCAAGUUGAGGUGUGGGAAAGCAGUAGUGUGAGAACGUUAAUUUAAAACUAAACUUCGAACGUAGCUUUGAUUUCAUAUUCUACGCAAACAAAAUUGGAAAGAGGCGGAGGGGUUCAUGAAUUUUUUUGAUAUAAAGACCUGAUGAUUCUCGAAAUUACAAAGCCUUUGUGGGACCAUGAUUUUCCAGGGUCGGUGUAAGGCUGAUCCGAAUACUGUUAUUUCAAAAGUCAAGUCAUGGACUCACCAGUUUCGGGUAGAGUUGUAUCAGACAGAGCAAGGUGCCAUCAUCACUCUACUUUGGGGCACUAGGCGGAGUCCUAGCGACUCUGCUUGAUGACCAUACUUGUUCUGCAAGACACAUGAUCUGAUCCGGAUAUGGACACAAUCAAAUCGUAGAAGUCUUGGAGUCCCUACAAUCAAGAGAGAGGCGUGUGCCGCAAGUAAUCACAAUUCUAAGAGGAUGAAAUAUCUACUUAUUAGAUAUCCUCUAGGACUCUCCCAGCUUAGAACGAGGAUUAUAUUCUAAAAAAGUCUCUCUCCCAUCUAAUAUUCAUCUACGGUAACACAAUCUAUACAAUUGAUUUCUCUUGCCCACUGCUUAAGUCUCAAAUCGUUCAAUAACUUGACCAUUGAAGAGCUUUUGGCCGGCACACCCACCCACCCCCCCCCACACACACAACACCCCAACCUAAGGUUUGCUUAUAGUUGUUUGACUGUUUUGCAAGUUGCUCAUGAUUACACGAAUUUGUGCUCAACUACCGCUCGUGGAGGUGCCUAAAUUUGGUUCCAAGAAUUGGUUCUUUCAUUGGAAGAGAACCCAUAUUCUUUCCGACCAAACCACUCGACCAACAAACAUGUGAGCUGAAGAAAGCUUGGUUAACGUCAACGUUAACCCAUCUAACGAGGGGGCUUACCCUCUGAUGCAUCAAAUUCACUUCCGUUUUUCUUUUGUUAUUCCACAUGAUUUAUUAAAUUCCUCUUAAAUGUGUGGAAUUAAAUAUUUGCUCUUUAUUUUUUAUGGAAGUUUGUACGAUUGACAACAUCUUUUAAGCUUCCACAUGAAUUACAUGUAGGGCUGGUUCGGUAUGGGAUACCGAACCAAAAAUGGCAUAUCAAAUCCCGAACCGAAAAUUUUCGGGACGUAAAUCUCAUGACCGAUCCCGAACCGAAAUUUCAGGAUUCCCGAAAUAUUUUCGGUAUUUCGGAAUUUCCCGAAACCGAACAUCAUCAGAAUCCAAAUCGUCUUAGAUUAAUAUUGAAAUCAUCCGAACUUGCAUUAAAAAUCCAAAUUGAAAUCAGAGACAUAGUGAUAGUGAAUCAGUGAAAGAUUUAUGGUCGAGAAAGAAGCAGAGUGAAGAGAGGGACCUCCUCCUGACCCGAGCCCCCAAUUCGAAACCCUAAGCCCUAAUUCAAAACCCUAACCUCAAUUCGAAAUCCCACACACACAGAGAAUCACUGGAGAGAACCGGAGGUGGGGAUGAAGCCAUGAGGUGUGGUGGUGGCCGGAGUGGAGAUAGUUCGUCGGAGUCAGAUUGCUAGACGGUGGGUGGUUGCUAAGCUUCAAAUCCGAGAAAGAUAGGGAGAGUCUGAGACUGAGUGAAGGCAGAUGAGAGGCGAAAUGAAAUGAGAGAGAGUGAGUAGGGAUGUUUGGCUUGGUUUUGGAUUGGGUGGAAGGAAAGGUUAGGUGGUUUCUGGGUUGUAGAGAGAGAGAGAGAGAGAGAAUACGAGAGAGAUGAGACAGAAAAAAUGAGAGGGAUAAAGGAUUAGGUAGGUUAUGAGUUGUAGAGAGAGACGAGACAGAAAAAUAAGAGAGAGAUGAAGGGUUAGGUUAUGGGUUGUAGAGAAAGGGAGUCUGGGAAAUAAUCAAGAAGAGAGAUGACUGAUGAGACAUAAAAUAGGGAAGAGAAGAAAGCAAGCACCCUUGCCUUGCGUGACCCAUCCUUUCCCAUGUGCUUGAUGCAACGUUUGUCAGCACCACACCACACACACACUGACACAUAUACAUAUAUAUAUACACACACACACACACCGACACAUAUACAUAUAUAUACACACACACACACUGACGCAUAUACAUAUACACACACACACACACCGACACAUAUACAUAUAUGGUUUUUGGGCAGGCCUUCUGGACCUCUCUGUGUGUGCAGAGAAAUAGAGAGUCUGAGAGGGAUGAAGAUGAGAGUUGAGAGGAUUAGAGGGAAAGGAUGAGCUGGCAGCCAAUGAGUGAUGGAAGUGAGGUGAAGGAAUAUUUUAAAAAAUAAAGUGAGAUUGUCCCAAGAGAUAAGGGACACGAGAGAGACGAGAAGGAAUGGGGUGUUGGCCCCACGUGAUACACAGCCCAAGGCCAAAAGACAAAAUCAAAUUAUUUCCCUAAACAUGAAAUUACCAAAACGCCUUUUACAACCGUAGUUUCCUAAAAUUUUAACCGUAGCUACAAAUUCAAUUCCACUUUCACCCACGCAUUUGUAGUGAUGAGCACUUGGAGGAUACGCUAAAGGAAUGUUUCAUACGUCUCACAAUACGUUGGUCAAUGAAAGUCAACGUCCUUGCCUCUAGGGCAUUUUUGUCAAUUCCCUCAUUUAAAAUUAAUAUAAUUGUCAAAUUAGGGACGAGUUGUCACAAUCUACCCACCUUAAAAAAAAUUUCGUCCUCGAAAUUUGAAAUAUUUUGUUAUGCAAAAAAUAGUGAAAAGACGGCAUAAAUAUAAAUAUGUAAAGUAGAUAUCGAGUUAGAGAGGUUGCAUGAAAGAGAAUGCCAUUACGUCGCGAUCGAAGUGCAAUGAUUCCUCUUUCAUGCCUCCAGACUUAUACUUUCCUUCUCCAUCAGUACAAUACUAUAAAUAAUACUUUUUAUAAAAACAUAACGUAAAAAUACGUAUAUACAAUAAUGUAGAAUUAAAAUAGUUGUAUUGAAAUCAAAACUAAACAUAGAAAAGUUUCACCUAUGCAAUUGUAGCGUCACGUACUCUAAAAAUAAGUGUAGUAUCUUAGUUCAAGCCCAAACAAUUAAUAGAUAAAUAAAUAACUAAAAUACUAACGUAGACGGGCCUACCUAUCCACUUGCUUAACGACCCCAAUGAACAAGUUAUCAAUAUUAUGGUCUGCAGCCUGCAAUACCGACAACUCACUGUUGUCACAAUAUGCAAGCAAUUAAUUCCCAAGGGUGCAAUAUUACCAUCAUGCCCCUCAUUGGGAAAUACACAUACAAUGUCUGAUCAAAGCCUUGAUUGUACUCAUGCACUUCCCUUUCGGGCAACAUUGUCAAUAUCAUAAAAUUUUCCAUAUCAUAAUCUCGAUCAUUCAAAUACCUGUUCGCAAUACUCAUUUGUCAAACAUGUAUUGCGCGUAAAAUCUUUAUACAACAUCCCAAAUGGUGCCAAACCAAGAAUUGAAAUAAUACUUGCAGUUACAUGCAACACUAAUGGAGAUAAGUGUUUAUUACCAUCAUGCUAAAAUUAUAGAACGAAUAAACACCACAUGUCCACGAAAGUUUGGAUAUUUCAUUUCGAUUGGCUGUUAGUCUGAAGAUGAAGUGUGGUAUUGGACAACAACUUAGUACUCAUAGCCUUCAAAAAGACUUCCCAAAACUUGGAAGUGAAAUGCGCAUCACAAUAAAACACGGUAGUGACAUGCACACCAUGUAGUUGAAUAAUGUAUCUCAUAAAUACCUUGGAGAGCAGAUUCAUUGUGAAAUUCCCUUGGAUUUAGCGAAAACUAUGUCGAGAAGACUACCAGAACAAUUAAGAAUUUGAGGGUCAAAACAUGUCCAUCGAAUCUAGGAUACAAGGUAACUGGAAUGAAUGCAUGAUAUCUCGUUACAACGGUAGCUUCUGAAAUAUUUAAUCACCAACAAUAACAAUUCUUUUAGAAAAGUAUUUGUUGGGAGAUUGAGGAAUUAAUGUUCACAAUUAAAAUUUGAAUAUUCUAGUGAUACUCCUAAACGGUUUGCCUACUUCAAAAUUAAUACAAAGUGCAGUAGGGUAGACAUGUACUCAAGGUUCAUUGGAAUGCCUUCCAGCACAAGAAGUGAGUAUGGAAUCGCAAUCAAAGUAGAUGUUGAUCGACACGUCAAAAAAUUAGAUAAUUUCAAGAAUGAGGAAUUUUUACCAAAUGGUCCAAAACGUAGUUCUUCUGGACCGACAAAAGGUGAGUUAACUUGUCAAGUUGAUCAGUAAUCAUCAAAACAUCAUCAUAAUCUCCACAUGUAUAAGAUAUCUCGUAUCGGGAGUUUACGGUGAUAUUUCCCCAUCUCUAUUUGGAUACAAGAAGUGACUAUAACCACUCAAACGAUUUCUUGAUAAUUCAAAAAUAACGUCAAAUCGAUGCAUGUGAAGUCGGGCUAGAAUGGGAUAGGAAAGGCUGGAAAUGUUCAAAGGUAGUUAUAUUUUUUGUAGUGGUAAACAAUAACUAUGUUUGCACAACUAGGAUGAUACACGAUAGUGCAAUCGUAGGCAUUGAUUUGGUUCUUCCAUGAUUGCUGUCAAAAAUUUAGUUCCCUUCAAAUGAAGAUGUAUUUGAGAGGUCUAAGGUUGAUAAAGAUUUUGAACACACUUCUCCACAGAGAAGUGUCACUCGGUUUCCAAAUGAAGAUGACAACUGUUAACUCUAGGUCAUGAAUAAGACGGUUCAUUUCCAACGAUUCUAACUGUUGGAAAAUAUAAGCGAUUCUUCGUCAUGCUGCCUCAGCACAGUUGAAACAUCCAAAGAACACACCAUCAUGGAUUUCCAAAAUGAUCAAUGUCAUCGAAAGGUGUAAAACAAAGGUAAGGUAAGACAACAGUCCAGUUGUCAGAAACUUUACUCAUACUCAACAUCGCAGCUAAACUAACUUUCCUCGGUCGUAAGUGAGGAAGGACACUAUAGCUGAAAAAUCACUAACAAAGUGUCGAUAAAUCGACAAGAUCAAAGACAUCUCGAAUUUCACAACACCUUGUGAGAAUUUCAACCUUCUUCCACUAAACCCUUUAUUUGUAUUUUUUUUGUUUUUUUUUUUGUUUUUUUUGGAAAAAGAAAAUAAUAUCGUUUACUGAGAUCACGUCUCCCAAGAAGAGUACCUAUUUAAAGAAAACUAACGUUUGAGAAAUUUGGUAUAAAGCUGAUUGUUGGGGUUUAAAGAAUCUGGUCUUAUUACCAAAGUGGAUGAGAAAGUCAAUGAUAAGACUACUAUGAAUUCAAUUGGCUACGAAAGAAAACUCAGGCUCAAGAAGUUGGUCGGAAAGACCAUCAAUUCAAAAUAGGGGCUAACGAUUUUUCGUCGUCACCUGAUUGAGUCGCUAAAAUCUAGAUACGAUCCCAAGGUUCGGCCUUUCGUCUUCACAGAUAGGUCUGAGGUUCCCUAGAUAAGGUGUUUGUUGGAUAAAUUCCUAAUCCGUAAAAUUUUGUAACUAAGUUCUCUCAUUGAUGUAGAAGUUGUUUGAAAAGAUGCAAGGAAAGUUAGUGUGGUACGAGAAAGUGGAUCGAUGGUGUAACCAACUUCCCGCUUCAGUGGUACCUCAAGUAAAAUUCUAAGAAAUGACGCCAGAGAUAUGCAUCCUCAAAACAUACGAUACUAUUUCCUUCUCUACGACACGUGCUAAUAGGUCUUCACAGCUUUCUCAAUUUUCAAUUCACUAUAACAGUGAGAAACUAACCCGUACUUCGAUUCUACUGUCUACCUGCGGAAGUGAUCGAAGAGGUGGCUAGUCGGAAAGGUUCUGUUUAUCUAGAUAGGUGAUAAGGUAAAAACAACUGUGAGUUUAUCAUCCUAAUACAAAACCUGCUCCUAAGUUUCCACGAUUUAGUUUCUUCGGCUCAAGUAGUCACUGUUAAUAAAUCUAUUAGUCAUGUCGCUAAUAAUGCAUAUAUGAUACUUUUGAUAUUUUUGAUAUUGUUCUUUACCUUCAAACUAUGAACUGGUGUUCUGGCAUAAGGGUAUCACUCCCAGAUACUAGUACAUGUGCCCGGUAUCAGAAAUCAUAACGCCUGAAUACUAGUUGAUAGUUUCUGGAUAUCAAACAGUAUCGUCAAUUAGUAAUGCCACCAUAGGUUGAUUACAGAUUAGAGCCCACUCGGGGUAGGUGGUUUCAGAUGAUUGGUAAGUAACGGGUCAUGUGAGGUGGUUUCCUUGAUUCUAGGGGAAUUUGAUGACUGCUUUUAGGAUUUCUGCUACCCGAAAGUAUAACAACUCAAACACAUGUGCCUAUGCUCGUCAAAAUGAUGAGUACAUCACCAAAAGAAAUUAUGAAAACUAGUAUUGGUUGGAACGUUCUAAAGCCGAAAAAAUGAAGUUGCUAUUAAUCUACUUCAGAACAAACUUUAAACGAAAAUCGAUCUUUCUCCAGAAGAUCUGAAAUGAUUACCAAUGUGAUUGAAAAGAUUAGUGCUAUUGGGGACCAAAAGUGGCUGUCCCCCAGAUAUUCUCCUAUCAAGUGCUACCACUUUAGCACCAGUUUGUCGCUCAAGACAAUUCUGGAAUCUUGACGAAGUAAACUUCGUAGGAAUUCUAAUAGAUGAUAUACUAACAGGUACUACCAAGGAAGCAAAACCAUUUCUGGUUUCCUAACUCGAAAGGGUUGGAAGAAAUCAUUAAAUGGUAGUGGGAUUGAUCAGUAGAUCUUUAGUGGCACACAAUUAUUGAUACAUUAGCCCUGUUUUAAGGUCAUCAACUUCUCUUCGUUCGAGAUAUUUUUUUCCUCGGUAGGGAGGUUCUUCAUUUAAAUCUAGAGGCGUCCACCAAAAUGAUGUUCUAAAAUGUCGAUAAGUCGUCUAAGUCACUCAAAACUUAGAAAAAGUUAACACAUUUUCAUAUUCGACAAGGUGGUAAGAUUCGAUACUUAGGUUCAAGAACCAAGAAUGCUUGCAUCACGCGUGUGAUGAAUGCAAUACUACUCAAACUUAUCCUCUGAUACCAAACUAACACACGCCAACGCAAAAUGUCCAUUACGACUCCAAAUCAAGUUGUGUUGGUCAACACUUGGAAGAUGACGAAGCCAUAAAGUGUAGCGAUGUGGAAAAUGUGUAUAAACUUAAACCUAAAAGUGCCUAGAUGCAUUGUGAGAGGGAACACGUGAUGUCAGAGCAUAAGUACAGUACAAUAAGAUAGGGUGAGAAUUACACCAUCAGGGGUAAUCGCCUACACCAAGAUUUGCCAAGAAUCUUUGUUGACACAAAAGCUAAGAUGCUAAAACCUGGAGGGGCACAAAACAAAGGUGAAUGGGCCUGAAAAUAAAGUUUUAAUAAAAACCUUUUGAAAACAUUAUAACCCCUUGCCGUAAAACAAGUAUAGUUUCCAAAAUAUACAUACUAUGUAUAGUAUAAAAAUGCUUACCAUAACCAACAAUAUUUCAAGGAUGCCAUACGUCACAUUUUUUUGCCUAAAUAAAAAUAUCACAUCGAAUGCUCAUUGCUAAGUCAUUUUCAGAGUUCUAUAUAUGGAUUUGAAUCUAGGAAUGAGAAGGAAUGAAAUGUACCAAUUUGAGGUCUAAAUGAGGCCUAAAGCAACCGAAAAAAUGGCCUGAUGGCCACGGUUCGAUUUCUGGAAAUCUGGGGAAAAACUUCCCCGAGGUAUUUCUGCAUCAAUCUUUCUCCAAAUCAAUUACAAGGCUAUAAAAGACAUCAGAUCAUGAUUAAAAAGAGAACAUGAGGAAUCCUAAGGUUUACCUUGGUCGAAAUCUUGAAAAAUCUCGCCGGAGUUGGCCUAGUUAGGUGACUAUGCACUGUUGCUUUCUCCAUACCAGUGGAGGUAGAAAGGAUGAGAAAGCGACUGAGAGUUUGGAGAAAGGCUUAAGAGGAACAAGGAUGUGGUGGUGGUCGAGUGAAACAUCAUCAUUAGGGUUUGGUUUUUGGGCAAACCUUCUAGACCUCUCUGCGUGUGCAAAGGAAGAGAGAGUUUGAGAGGGAUAAAGAUGAGAGCUGAGAGGGUUAGAGGGAAAGGAUGAGGUGGCAGCUAAUGAGUGGUGGAAGUGAGGUGAGGGAAUAUUUAAAAUAAAAAUAAAGUGAGAUUGUCCAGAAAGAUAGGGGACACAGGUAAGAGGUAGAGGAAUGAAGUGUGGGCCUCACGUAUUACACAGCCCAAGGUCAAAAGAUAAAAUUAAAUUAUCUCCCGUAAACCUGAAAUUACUAAAAUGCCUUUUAGGACCGUAGUUCAAUAAAAUUUUAACCGUAGCUCUAAAUUCGAUUUCGUUUGUGCCCACCCGUUCAUAGUGACGAGCACUAUGAGGAUACGCUAAAGGAAUGUUUCAUAUGUCUUACUAUACGCUGGUCAACGAAAGUCAACGUCCUUACCUCUAGGCAUUUUUGUCAAUUUCCUCCUUUGAAAUUGAUAAAAUUGUCAAAUUAGGGACGGGUUGUCACAUACUUCAAUUUCUGAUGUUUACCAGUGGAGUGGAGCUGAGCAAAGGAAUAACAAGUCGUCGAAAAAAAAUGACUACUUUCGAUUGAUGCUCUACCAAAGGAAUAAUAAUAAUGUAGUUAAUCAAUCUCUUGGAUUACGUGGAAUUUCACGAUAUCCAACAAGAUAAGGUUAACUAGCAAUAUUUGAUUGGUAAUGAUAAUAGUGCAAUCAUUGCACUCACGCAGGACAUAACAGACUUGUCUUGUGGCACUGGAAUUGUCGAGAUGUUCCCGACUAAGGUACCAUGUGAUUGAAGUAUUUGAACAAACAAAGAUAAUAUGACUAACUGGUGGUUAAUGUCGUUGUCCUAACUACAGGUUUGCUAUUCUCUUACAUGGCUUGCUCCUAAGUUUCUAUGAUUGUGGUUGUGUUGGCUCUAAUUGUCUUGAUAAGUGUGUAUGUCAGUGGUGCCACUACCUAAUGUUUUUAUGGUAUUCUAGUAAUGUCUAUCUCCAGGGAACAAUGAACUAGUGUCCUGGCAAUGGUAUGAUAUCCAUAUACCACAUUAUAUUUUCAAUAUAGAGAAAUCAUACUGCCUGAAUACUAGAUGAUAGCUCCCAAAUACAAGACAAUCUCGUUUUGGUGACAAUUACGUCACCUAGGUUGGCUACUACCUAGGGCACAGUCAGAAGAAUAAGUAAGAUUUUCUAGGAAGGCUGCUCCUAUGAGGUGAAACUAGCCUAAGCUUGAGAAUGGGAAAUGUGGUUAACUUUAUCUUAGAAUGAGAUUUAUCGAAAUUCGAUCUUCCUCCAAAAGACCCGAAAUCAUAACUGCUAUGUUUGAAAGAUUGAUGUUGUCGGGGACCAAAUGUAACUAUCCCCCAGAUGUUCUCCCGUUAAUUGCAACCAAUUCUGCACUAAGAUUGUCACUCAAGACAUUUUCGGAAACAUCAAGGUGAAGCAAAAUCUCAAGGAAAUUUUGGGAGGUGGCACAAAAAUAAAAAUUGCUAAGGAUGAAAGAAUUUGCAGUUUCCUAAAAAGAAGGGUUGGUAACGAUGGUUAGGUUGUAGUUGGGAUUGGUCAGUAAAAUCUUCGGUGGUACACAAUUAUCAAUAUGGCUACCCUACUUCAGGGUCAACAAAACAUCUCCAUUUUAGGUCUUUCUUAGGCAAAGAGGUUCUUCACAUAAAGUCUAGUCGUGGUCGCCCAAGUGUUCUUCUAAAAGGUCGAUAAGUCGUCAGAAAAAUGUCAACAAUAGUCAUUCCAAGUUGCCUAAAAUUCGUGAAAAGCUGGCAUAUUUCGUGCCUGACGAGGUAGCAUAAUUAUGACGUUAGAAUUCAAGAACCAAGAAUGCUUACAUCACGUGUGUGAUGAUAGCGAUACUACCUAACCUAUGCUCUGAUAUCAAACUGACACACCUCAACCCGAAAUGUCCACCUGGACACCCAAAUUGCAAUGUGUUAACCGACACCUGGAAGGUAACGAAGCCAUAAAGUGUAGUGAUGUGGAAAUUUUGAAUAAAUUAAAACCUAAAAGUGACUAAUUUAGAGUGCGCAUGUGAGCGGGAUUGAACCCAUAUCACACAAGUGAUGUCAGAGCAUAGAUAAAUUGCAAUAAAAUGAGAGUAAAGACAUUUAUACAGAAAGGAGAAGUCUCCUACAUAACAGCUUUUACCAUCAAUAUUCUUCACCAUGAAACCUCUGCCACUAAAAUCCUAGAAGGGCAAAAAAUAAAGGUGAGUGGGCUUGAAAACAAAGUUUUGUAAAACCUUUUCGAAAAGUGUAACCCACUGUAAAACAAGUAUAUGGUUUCCCAAGAAUAUUAUAAUACUAGUAUGUAAUACGGUACCCUGCAACAAAAGUGAGUUGAAAGAUGUAUGGUAUAACGACAGGUCUCCUUAACAUUAAAUCUCAAAUCAAUAUCAUAAGAAAUCAAAGCUCAUUAAUUUAUGUAGGCACACAAGUCCAUUGCAUAGAUAUUCAGACAAUGGAACAUGCUGGGUGUAGGUUUUACACUCUAGUACUACAUCAUGUGAGCUACGCUAGUUACAUCACAUACGAGUCCAACACAUCAAUGCAAAUGGACAGGCUGGCACCUAACUCUGGAUCCAAAGCGAAUGUAAACAGUGCAUGCGAAGCUAGUGCUUGGCCCAAGAUAGUACAAAUAACUAAAAGACACCAUGCAAACAUGUAAUAAUGAGCUAAUAAAAUGCAAGGAUGUCAUGCCAAAAGUUUAUGCUCACAAAUAAUAUUAAAAACAUGUAGUGUACGAAACGUCUAUUUGUAAAGCUAAACAUGGCAUGUCACAUCACAAUAUAUAAAAGCAGUUGUUGGAAAAAAAUCACAUAUACAUAUAUAUCCGUAAAAACAAAAAAACUCACUCAUGUAACCGUAACGCACUCGCCGUCAAUGAGCCUUGUCAUUUGUCGAAUAAGCUUGUACCUAUAUCCAGUCACAUUGACUUUAGCAAGGUACUUAAACAUAAAUCAUACAAAUGAUGGACAGAUUAACUAUAAUCUGUCCAAAUUUUGCAUUUUACAAAAUUACCUCUAAAACUAGAGGUAAUUGCAAAAAUGCCCCCAACUUCUUAGAAUUACCAUACAACACUAAAGCUUUAACAAGUUUUUGCAGUUUGGUCCUUGUUGCAAAAAGAGUACAGCGACAUCAAUCUUUUCUAAAAUUUCCUACCAAACAAGCAUGUACUAUAUGAAUUAGAAGUUGGGACAAGAGAAACAUAAGUAUACCAGAGGGUCUCAAGGUGGCCGGCGAAAUCGAAUUUGGCCAGAAUCUCACGGACCUAAGAGGGUAUUUCGUCGGACUUCGGUUAAAUCGAGAACGAUUUGAGCAUGCAAGCUCGAAUUCUGCUCCUUGUGAUGAUGGAGGUUAGAAACCAGAGCCUAGCUUCGCCUGAAAUGGAGUAUAAUAUGAUUUUUCAUUUAUGUAUGUAGGCAGUGCUAUAUACAUCGAUCCGCAUACCCAUGCAUUCAAAAUUAAAAUAGCAAGAGAAGAAUCAAUCCAAAUAUUCUCGGAGCCACAUACUUACAUACACAUAUAUACACACACAUGGGUUUGAGUACUGGUGAAGUACGGGCUACUGGCCAUGAGCUUCUCGAAGCUCAAGCUCAGAUUUGGAACCACAUAUUCCAGUUCAUAAACUCCAUGUCACUCACAUGUGCAGUUCAACUGGGCAUCCCAAACAUGAUUCACAGCCACGGCCAACCCAUCUCUCUUUCCGAGCUCAUGGCGGGGCUCAAUGCCCCCCUUCAAAAGCCCAUUUCGUCGCACGCCUCAUGCGCAUACUUGUUCACUCCAAUUUCUUUGCACAACAUCAUCAUGUUCAUCGUACGACCAGAAAUCAUUUCAAAAUUUUGAAAAUUAAAAUUAAAUAUAAAUUGUACCUAACAAUUUCUGACCGAACGAUGUACGAUGAACGGUCACGAUCACGGGAUCCCUAUGAUUGGCAAAAAAGGAUUUGACAAUGAUCAUUUUCCAAUUAUUUGUACAAUUUUUCAAAAAGGUUUCUAUUGUAAGACUCUUUGGUAAGGACAAGGAUUGUCUGCUCUCCCUUUUUCCAUGUCCUUCCAUGCCCUCUUGUUUUGUGUGGUCACAGUUAAGCCACGUUAACAUUUUAUAUUAUUUUUUUAUAAAGAUAAUAAGACAAAAAUGAAUAGUAAUAUAAAAUGUUAACGUGGCUUAACCAUGAUCACACAAACAGGAGGGCAUGGAAGGGCAUGGAAAAAAGGAGGGCAGACAAUCAUUGUCCCAUUGGAAUAGUGGUGGUGUAAGAAAGAUAUGGUGCGAUUGAAUUGGCGCCCACCCCUAGGCAUUCAAAAACAAUGGAGGUGGGAUUAAUCACCAGCCCAUCCUUAUUCAGACUUGCGAAGGGGAAGGGGGAGGGGGAGGGGAGGGUGGAUGGGGAUUACAGCCCAUCCCUUGAUCAAUAUUAUUAGGUAGAACAUUACAUGUGAUGUGCUACAGCGACCAUGCAAUGCAUUAAAAGUAGAUUGAUAUAAGGGAACUUUAACGAAAAGUCCUGGUAUUAUUCACUUUAAUGAAAAUCAUAUUUUUACACUAAAAAGUCAAUCAUGGUACUAUUCACUUUAUCCUUUAUUUUGUCAUUUUCGUUAAAAUUCAAAAUUUUCAAAUUAUUUUCAUUAGUUUUCCUUUGAUAAAAUAUAGAUACAAUGAUAGUAGCCAUUUGUUGUUGGCACGACCUGAAUCCAGAAAACCUUCAUAUGUAAUCUUUCCAUAAAAAUAUAAAUACAAUGAAAUAGCAAAAUUCAUUGUGCAUCUGGAUAUUGUGUGUGUGACUAGCGCUCGGUGGAUAACGAUGCAAUGCAUUAAAAGUAGAUUGAUAAAAUAUAAUUUAACACCACAAAAUUCGUUCUGUAUAGGGAUAUUGUGUGUGAUUAGCACUUGGUGGAUAACGAUUUGGAAGGUAUUUUCUUCGUUUUAUUUUAAAAAAAUAUAAAUUAGUUAAAUUAUAUUGAAAUUAUGUUGUUAUAUUUAUAUUAAGUUGUUAAAUUAUAUUUAUUACAAAACAAUUAUGUUAUAAUUAAGUAUAAUGUUGAAUUGUAUAUGAACAAAUUUUUAUGUGUGUACAAAUGUGUUGUGAUGUAAGGAGUUAAUUGUAAUUAACUUCGUACUUGUUUUUUUAGUAAACUUAGUUUAGUUUGAGGAAUAGUUGGAUGUCGCGUAUGGUUGCGAAAGUAUGAUUGUGGUCCAAUUGAUUUUUGAAUUGUCCCAUUAUUUGGACAGUUUGGGAAUGCAAAGUUAUGCCGCGUAGUUUACGGUUAAAGUAUUAGGUUUCGGUCGUGGGGAUUUUGAUGUCAUCUCUGUACGUUCUUCGAGUGGCACAUAGGUAUUUCAUAUCUAUGUCGUGCACUUGAAGAACUGUACAAAGAUGCUGCCGAAAUUUAUCCACGUCAAAAUCUAAUCUGAAGUAGGCAUAAAUUACGUGACAUGAUUUGCAUUCCCGAAUGGGAUAUGGCCAUUACCAGACGCAUAAGGUGGCAAGAUCAUGUAAAAAUUAUUGUGAUUAUUGUACUGUUAUUGUGGUUGUAGGAAUGAUGGACAGAAUGUGGAUGCAUAACCCAAAUAGAUGCCACCAACAAAUCCGGCUUGUCGAAACACGUGCAACCCAGGUGCAACUAGAAUCCAGUGUCCAUGUAAAAGGUGUAACAACAUGUUAAGGGAAACUAUUGAAAAUGUUCGAUUGCAUUUAAUAAGGAAUGGAAUGGUAGAGACCUAUAAUAUUUGGAACCUUUACGAGGAACAAUUACACAAUGCAUCAUCUUCAAACGUGACAAGUAGGCAAUGUUGAAUAUAAUAUGGAUCCUAAUGAACAAGUCAUGGAAAUCUUAAAUGAUGUUUUUCCAUUUGCGUUGACAAAUACCAAUUAGGAAGUGGAAGAUGACGUGCCUACACUAAUGGAUAGUGGAGAAUUCGAACAAUAUGAACAACCAAGACUUAUACCCGGGCUAUGAGGGAUUUUCCAUUCUCAGAGCUAUUGUGCAACUAAUGCACGGGAAAAUAAAGUAUCAUAUAUCGAACUAGUGUUUUGAUUAUUUUUUGGGGGUUUUCAAGAAAAUGCUACCAAAGGACAAUUAUUUGUCGAAAGACCAUACAAACACUCAAAAGGUGUUGAAUGGUCUCGGAUUGAGUUACAAAAAAAUUCAUGCUUGCAAAAACAAUUGUGUAUUGUUUUAUAAGGAGAAUGAAGUAUUGGAUAAAUGCCCUGUAUGCAAUGAGUCAAGGUUCAAAAUGACAUCUCAAAAUAGAUCGAUGAAGAUCCCACAAAAAGUCAUGCUUUAUUUGCCUUUGAAGUCGUUGCCACCGACAUGAAAAGUAGGUAGAUGACAUUGUCCUAAGAGCAACUCCACCGUUGCUAAGGACCCUUAGGGCUAUUCACUAUUUAAUCCACUCAGUGAACAGUAACUACGCUUAAUGAAUAGUAACUGCCUUUUGCAUCUCCACCCCUACACUUAAUAGCCCUGGCAAUAGGCAAUAAAUUAUUAGUAGUUUUUUUUUUAUUUAUAAAAUAAUACAAAACAAUUUUAUUUGUAAUUUCGGGUAAGAUUUUUAAUUGUUCUCGUUGCGCCACAUGUCAAUAUCCGAAAAGACAAUUAUUGGUGAUAGAUUUUGAUAAUUUUCUUUGUAAUUUCGGAUAAGAUUUUCUUGUUGAAGUUGUUUACUAAGAUUGUCUGGAAUCGGAGUAGGAAUGACAUUAAUCUAUAUAAAUUGUUUACUAAUUCACAUGAAUCGGAAUGAAAAAUAAUGUAAUUACUAAAGUACCCCUAUUUUAACUAAUUAUGUUAAUUAUUUUAAGAAAUUUUAGUCUUGAAUUUUUUUUUUUUACUAAAGAGAAUUUUAUUUUUUUUUAUAAAAAAUUUAUUCUUGAUGUUGGAGAAGACUCUAGACGCAUGUAGAAGACUCCUAAUCACAUGAAUUAGUUCAAAUUUGAUAUAAAAAAAUUAUUUAUUAUUUGCUUCUAACUUUUUAAUCACCCUAAACCAAGUGAAACUAAUGAAACAUUUUACGUCCUUUUCUCUCUCCUCCCCUCUCUUCUGCAUCUUUCUCUACAGCCGCUUAACCAAAAUGCUCAACAAAUUUCAACAUCAAACUCUCGUCUACUCGAGGUUGCCCUAGCACAUGUAUCCACAUCCAACCAUCCAAUGAGGCCACAACCUACCCCAUCAACGAAAAAGUCCAAUUUCACAGAGUGAAAGUGAUAAGAAGUUCUUUCCUUCUAUCCUGUUUAGGUCAAAUCUCCUUCUUAAUUGAAUUUGUGAAAUGACGAUUUUGGCGUUCGUUGUUUCAGAUAACGUUCGUCGUUGUGGCAUCGUUCCUGAUCUCGGGCAAUCGUUGUUCCAGACUGUAGGCGUUCUUUGUUCCAGUCGUCGAUUGGUAAACAUGCUAUUAAUGGUUAAAUUUUGUUCUUUUCGAUGUGCAUGCUUUCUGUUUUGUUUUUCCAGAAUCCGAGGAAAAAAUUCAGCGAGCUCCGUGACCAAACCCGACCAAUCCGAGGAAAAAAUUCAGCUCAACCGCAACAGCAGCAGCUGGUGGUGCAGAACUCUGCCGGAAGCCUCAGCUUCAAUAGCAACAUGUCGAAGGAUGACGAGGAGAUGUCAAGGUCGGCGCAUGCACUGAUGCCGCACAUCAAUCGCACGUCACACAACCCUCAAGCUCUCUGGCUGUCGAUUCCCGCCUGGCCUCUCGCUCAGGCCUCCUUCAAGCCCCAUCACCCGUAUGGGCUGGAACUGCUAGCUGGGGCAAUUGGGUUGGAGUAACAGCCGGUCUACCAGGCUAUUGAAUACGGUGAAGCUGCUAUAAGGCAUCCUACAGAUAGAGAAGCGUGGAAAGAGUUUGAACGAACGUUCCCUGAUUUUUCUACUGAUCCUCGGAACAUUAGAUUGGGACUUGCCACUGACAGAUUAAAUUCGUUCGAGGUUCUAAACCAACAUCAUAAUACUUGGCCGAUUUUCAUAUUUCCAUAUAAUUUUCCGCCAUGGAAAUUUAUGAAAAAAGAAUACAUGACGAUGACUCUAUUGAUAAUUGAGGAUCCUAGUUGGUCAAUCGAUGUAUACAUAUUACCGUUAGUGAAUGAGCUAAAAGAUUUCUGGACACACAGUGUGCACACAUACAAUAAGUGUACAGGCAAGAUGUUUACUUUGCGGGCAACAGUAAUGAGGACUGUGAACGAUUUCCCCGCAUAUGCAAUGGUUUCUGCGUAGAGCACUAGGGGUUAUAUAGCUUGCCCUGUAUGCAAGGAAGGCGUAACAUCUAGUUGGCAUGUCGGAAAAGUUUGUUACCUUGGUCAUUGGAAAUGGUUGCCAUAGGACCACGAGUAGUGAGAGAAUGAUAAAGAGUUCGACGGGAAAAAAAAGCAUCACCUCAGACCCAGAGAAUGGUCCACUGAUCAGAUUUUGGAACAGCUUAACCGUUUGGAUUUUGCUUGUUCGGGAGAAACGUCAGUAGGACCAAACCUUCUACACAUAUGAAUUGGACGCACAAGUUUGUAUUUUUUGAGCUCCCGUAUUGGUCGAAACUAAAAUUGAGGCACAACCUCAAUGUUAUGCAUGUUGAGAAAAAUGUAUCUGACACAUUGGUCGACACAAUUCUAGAUAUCGAAGGCAAGACAAAGGACAAGAUCAAAGCUCGUCUUGAUUUGGAACGAAUAGGAAUACAACGGGGUUUAUAGAUGAAUAGGGACAAUGAUAAAGUUAUAAGGGAUCUUACGUUCUUUUCCAUGAAACCGAAUGACAAAAAAGAAUUUUUAAAGUUUUUAUCGUCUGUAAAGUUUCUUGAUGGAUAUGCUUCAAAUAUUGCACGUUGCAUGAAUGUUGACGGGUAAAUUAGCUAGACUAAAGAGUCAUGACUGCUAUGUGGUUCUGCAAUGCCUACUUCAUGUUGGUAUUCAACAUCUCUUGCCAAAUUACGUAGCGAAACCAAUCAUGUUGUUGUCCAGUUUUUUUUCGCAAUUGACAUUAAGAUCGUUGCGAAAGACGGACGUUAAUCAGUUGCGCCAUGACAUUGUGCAAGUUCUGUGCAAGUUGUGUGCAAGUUCUAUGCAAAUUUGAGAUGAUAUUUCCUUCAGCUUUCUUCACAAGUAUGAUCCACAUGAUUGUUCACUUACCAAAUGAGGCAUUGCUUGCUGGACCAGUCAACUUUCGAUGGAUGUAUCCAAUAGAAAGGUCCAAUAGAAAGGUAUAUAAUCCUCGUCAUUGUUAUUAAUCAAUAUCUUACGAUUAGUAAAAUUUGUAUCGUAUCAUUUUAUUUUGGCAGGCUUCUUGAAGACUUGAAGAAAAGUGUAUGAAACAAAGCGAAGCCCGAAGGAUCAAUUAUACAAGCUUGGGUGGCAUAUGAGACGCUUACAUUUUGUGGAAUGUAUUUAAAAGAUGUGGAGACAACUUUCAAUCGUCCUCCUCCCAAUAAUGACGGGGGUGUGAGAAAGGAGAAACUUUCAGUUUUUGCAAAUCGCUCGACCCUUCAAAGAUUAGAUACAAGGUGAGUCAUUCCACAAAGGACAUGGAGGUAGCACAUUGGUUCGUACUCAACAAUUGUGAUGAGACAUUGUCAUACCUAGACGAGCAUAAAGAUAUGAUAAAGCAGGCACAUCCUUCACAUUUGUAUGCCAAGAAACACCGUGAAUUAUUCUUGCAAUGGUUUCUUGAAUAUGUAAGUUUGAAGUGUUUUGUAUUGGACAUAUAUAUUAUACCAAUUAUUUUGCUCAAACUAACAAAUUUAAGUGUUUGUGUAAUAUUAGGUGAAUCGAUUGAAAGCAUUGAAUUCCCCAGCGUACAGUGAAGAGUUAUAUAACUUGGCUUUCAAACUGAUUCAAGUUGAAUUGUUCUCGGGUUACCAUGUCAACAGCGUCAAGUUCUUAGGGGCUGCACGAGAUGACAAGUUGUGUACGCAACACAUCGAUGUUCAUGUCACAGGUGAAGGCAAAAGUACAGACAUUGAUUUCUAUGGCAACCUAACAAGUGUCAUGGAAUUGCUUUACAAAAACUGAUGCCAAGUGAUCCUAUUUAAGUGUCGAUGGUUUGAUACAAACCCAAAUAGGUAGGGAAGUGUUAAAAAAGAUCAUGGAUUACUAUCAGUGAACACUACCAAAACUUGGUACGAUGAUGACCGUUACAUUUUAGCAAACAUGGAAAAACAAAUUAUGUAUUUAGAUGACCCUAAAGCCGGGAGGGGUUGGAAAAUUGUUCAGAAGAUGGAUCAUAGGAAUGUGUAUACUAUACCAGAAAAAGACCCUACUGCCGAUGACAUCGACAAUGCUGCUGACCAACGUCUAGAAUCUUUUAUGAAAAUUGGUGCGGAAACACUCUGAGAUACUAAUCUUAUCCAAGAACCAUUUCAGAUAGAAGGAGUAUCUUCAUUCGAAAUACCGAUUCAAUCAAUCACAAUUGACCUUGGUAAUCUUCCACAAUACAAUGGUCCAAUGCACACAAAAGACGACGGUGGCAUACCUAUCGAUAAUGAAGAAUGGGACACCGAAAAUGAUGAUAGCGAAGAAAGUGAAAGUUAUUAUAGUUCGGAUGAAGAUUAAUGCAAUUUAUUUGUAAUUUUUGUUGUAAAACACAUUAAAUGGUUAAUACAUUUUAUUUGGGAUCCCAUUUUAUAUGUGAAUCACUUUGUAAAUAAUAAAAUAUUAUUAAUAUUUUAUAAUAAAUUUUAAUCAAAAUUCUAAAAUAAAAAUAAAAAAAAACCAUUUUUAAACAAAAUUGCGCGAAACAUAACACUUUUUGGUCACACAAACAUUUUAAAUUUAUGCGGGUAGAUUGAAUUUUUAGACACUUCCACGCAAAGGAUAUUUGCGCAAUGAAAUCUAGGUCUUCGUCGCACAAGUGCCUGAAAAUUAAGGCGCUUUUUUUUUCGCAAAAAUUUUAAAAAACAUUGUGACGAAGUUUUUAACCUUGCGCGACAAAGUCUCUGUCGCACAAGCUUCUAUGUUUUUAUUCAUGUGUAUCAUCUUCCUGCCAUCACUUCUCUCUUCUUCCUUUUUCUUUCUCGAUACCCUCUCUCUCCUUCAUCGUUCUCUCCCGACACUCACCCUUAGUUUUUCUUCCCCGACAGACGUGAAUAUCCUCAUACCCUCUCACUACCACUCUCUGUCGCUCACCUCAUCUCUCCGUCCCUCUCUCCAUCGCUCACCUCAUCUCUCUGUCCCUCUCUCUGGCCGUCGCGUCGUCAUCUCCAAGAGGUAAUUUCCUCUUCUUUUUUUUUUUCAAUUUUCUUUAUUUACCAUGUUAAUUAGGGUUUAUAGAUGAAGGGUUUUUUUUUUCAAAUUGGGGGUUAGAAUUAGGGCAGUGGGGUUAGAUUUAGGGUUCGUAAAUUGGGGGGUUACAUUUAGGUUCUUAAAUUAGAGUUUUUAGGGUUCUUAAUUGGGGUUUGAUUUAGGUCUUAAAUUAGGAAAACGAUUUUGGGCAGUGAGGUUAGAUUAGCUUUUCUUAAAUUUGGGGUCAGAUUUAGGGUGCUUCAUUGGGGUUAGAUUAGGGUUCUUACAUUAGGGGUUUUUUAAUUUCAAGUAAAGGGUUAGAAUUAGCUAGGCCAAUAGGUUAGAUUAGCUUUUCUUAAAUUGGGGGUUAGAUUUAGAGUGCUUCAUUGGGGUUAGAUUAGGGUUCUUAAAUUAGGGGUUUUUUUAAUUUCAAGUAAAGGGUUAGAAUUAGCUAGGCCAAUUACAACAUGGUAAUCGAUGCAAUUUACUCCGCUCCUAGCUAGCCUCUUAUUGUUCAUCUUCAUCUGUGCCAAUCAAAUCUGAUUCUUGGCAGAAUAUAUAUAUAUAUAUAUAUAUAUAUGUGUGUGUGUGUGUGUGUGUGAUAUGCGUUUUUGAAGUAUAUAGCUAUUCCCAUUUGGUUACCCUGAUUUCAUAGUGUCCAUUAUUGUUAAGACUUGAAGCCCACUUCCUAUAACCAAUUUCAAAACAUGCAUAUAAAUUUAGCAUGUUUGAUUUCUGCAAAAAAAAAUUGUAACGAAGCUAGUAGAACUUUGGAAAUUUAUCUUGCAACCUAAUCUAUUGUCCUAACAACCAUAAUGCAGAGAAAUUUGUGGUGACUUGUAACAAAUUAAGUAGUGGAAUAAUAAUCAUGUACAUUAUUUUUUUCAAUUCAUGCUUCAGUACAGUUGCCUCUGUAUGCAUGGGUUUCUGUUUGUCUGGUGCUUCACCAAAUUUGGUUGAUCAAAUUAAGGUGCCACUAUUAUUAAUAGGAGAAGAUACCCAGAGCAUCAAGUUAGGAACAUGAUAUGACAAGUCCUAGAAUUAUCGAUAUAAUACACAUACAGAUAACCCUGCAGGCGAACAUGGUUUUUAGUUGUUUCUGUUGCAAAACUUAUUAAUCUAUAGCUUAAUUAGCAUGGAAGCGAUAGAGUCGAAGACAAAAUACCUAAAUUUAAAAGCCAUUUUUGAAGUUAAAGUUGAAAUAAAAGAAACCAAUUUGCCAUUGAAUAUGAAAACAUGUAAAUAAGAAAUUGAAAACAAACCUGAAUUGGGUUUAGAAUUAGGGUUUUUAAAUUUGGGUUUUUAAAUUUCGUUUAAAUUUAAGUAGAAUUUAUUAUGCAUGUGUACGAUAAUUUUUAUCUUUGUAAUCUAACAAAUUUAUUUUCAAUUUUGUAGAUGUCACAGCUCAUUAGAACCCGGAAGGUGAUGAUGACUACACCUCGUCCGACGACUAGACCUACUACUACCACCACUGCUCCGGCAGAGAUUGACCAUAGGCCGGUGAAUCCGGUUGACCCGGUUGGUCCUCCAGUCCCACAUGCACCAACAUCUUCGACUUCUUCGGUGGCGCUACCUGUUAGCGCUCGACGUGCUCAUUGACGCCCCUGCACUUUGGAGCAGAUGUCGCCAUCGGGAUCCACAACCGAUGCCUUGAGUCCACAGCCAAGUAUACUAUCCUAAUUUACUCCCUCAUUCCCAUGUUAACUUAGUUUUGUUAUUUUAGGUUCAGUUUGUUAAGUUAUGUCAUUUAAGGAUUAAAAGUUAUUAUAUAUAUAUAUUGUUGUCAUCAUACCAAACCCAUUAUUAAACAGUUGUGAUCAUUGUGUUGGAUACAUAUUCAAGGUUUUGGAAAAUGGUUUCAUUAUAGGGAGGUUCUGCCGAAAUUUCGGUAGGAUUUGUUAUUGGUUUUAGGUUAACAUUAAUUUUUCAUUUCUUUGCACACAAGAAAAAAACCCGAGGACCUUGUCGACAAUUGAAGAUGGCGAAAAUCACCCAGGUCACCAAUGGUCAUAUCACAGUUGGAUACGAUGGGCGACAUCGAGCAACACCAACGGUGGAGCAGCAUAGUGCAUUGGUCCACGACAUUGGGCACGUCGUGUUGACCUAUUGCCCUAUGCACUGGAAGUCUUGGAAGGCAAUGCCGGAGGAGGUGAAAAACACGGUGCACAAUCAUUUGUCGGUAAGUAUCAUCGUCCUGUUAAUGCUUUUCAUGUAAAAUUUAUAUAUUUAUAUUUAUUAAUGUCUUUUAUUACUAAUACUUUCGUAAUAUUUGUUACAUUGUAGACAAACUACCAUUUCGAUGACAUCAACAAGGACAUGUUGGUGUACCUCAAUUGACUCUUCUCCAAAUGCUACAAGCAGUGGAAGAGUGACCUGCGCCAGUAUUUCAAGAUGUUUGAUGAUCCACAGGUCGCUCUGGAGGAGGGUUGCCCGAAUUAGUUCGAGGACCGACAAGAUAGUUAGGUUUGGCUCUGCAAUCAUUUUCAGGGGCUGGGCUAUGUGGUGAGUUUUUAAUUAGAACUUCUUUCAUUUUACUUUUUUUAAUUUUUACUAAUGUUUAUUAUGAAUUUUUUUAUUUUCUUUAAAUAUUACAACUAAUACGUUUAUUUUAUGCAUAGCAGAAGAAGGCGAACACAAACAAGAUCAAUCAGGAGAAGAAGACUCUUCUCCACCAUUCGGGUUCGACUCAUUUCUCAUAUAGGAUGGAGGCAUGACGGAAGGUAUAUAUUAAAGCUUUCAUUUCCAAUUUUAAAAUGUCGCUAAUAAUUUUUAUUUUCUUUUUUGUUUCCAUACUAACAUUUUCUUUAUCUUUUUCUAUUUCAUAAGGGUUCAAAAUUCUCGAAGAUCGACGCCUUUGCUGACGUUUAUGUUCGGCAUGGGGAUAAGUUGGCCAAGUCCUUUCAUGUAAUUAAUUUCUUAUGCAUUAAAGAUUUAUACUAAUUAUUUCAAAUUGUUUGCUAUUAAUAUUCCAUGUUUUAUUUCACAGGCGACUAUGUUGGAGAAAGGUCAGUUGGUCCUUCUGGAGUUCGCCUUCUAGCUUCCCCCAGACAUGCCGAACGAGUCUGUGGAUCCCCUUGAGGAUGCGAGGUUUCACAUCCUUACAGAGACAUUCGACCAAACUUUUGGUCGGAGGCCAAGGACAUAUUGUCGGGGUAUAAGAAAUGCCAGACAACGGGAAAGUGGAGCCUCUUCAUUCUCUUAGUCGAAGGGCGAGGUUACGGCUUUAAUGCAAGAAGUCGCUGGCCUAAGGAGUGAGCUCGCAUCGUACAAGACUCAAAUGUCAUUGAUUGUACAAGCCCUCAGUUCCUCCAGGAUUCGUCCCCUAGAUUUUCCUGCAUCACCGCCGUCAGAGACCCUUCACACAGAGCAUACACAGCAAUCAGACCCGUUGACCUUCGACCCCGUUCCCAACCCCACCCUCUUCUAGCAGCAAGAUUACCAAGCACUUCCAAACGACUUGCCCAUAGAUUAUGCCUCAUUUUUUUUUGUUUUUUUUUCCCGCUUUCUUUUUUAAACUUUGUAUUUGUACGUACAUGUUUAUUUAUAUUAUAAAUAAAUUGGUUUUCUAUUUAUUAAUUUGUUUUUUUUUUCUUGUCAAUUGUAUGAAAUAUUUUUUUUUUUAAUUAAAAAUUACACUUGCGCAACGAAGAUAUGUAGUCGUGCAAAACCACGUGCGUCUUACAUGCUUCGUCGUGCAAACAUUUUCAAGGCGAAUUAUAGACAUCCCUAGAAAUUUCUCAUCACAAAGCAAACUUGUACCCUUUUAUAUCGUGUGACAAAAACCUUUGUCUGUAUACCUUUCUUGCAACGAGCAGUAAAGCAUUGCGCAAUCUUUUAGUUGCGUGACGAAUGUGCACUCUUCGUCGCGCAAGGUCUUUCUUCACGACCUUUGAGCGACAAAUUCUACACUACAAUUUUUGCAUCGCCAUAGGUUUUGUGCGACCUGGAAAUGCUUUGCGUGACAAAUACUCCCUCGUCGCGCAAAAUGUUUAACGUAAUAGUGAAUGAAUAUUAUAAUUUCUAGGAAAGUAAGAAAAACAUUUACAUUUAAUUACCAUACUUGUGGAAACAAGGAAUCCUAACUAGGGUUUUAUUCUAUCAGGUAGUGACGACCCCAUUUCACUUGAUGGUAGCUUGGUUGCAGAUGAACGGUGGGGAUGAUCCAGCUGCUGCAUGUACACCAUUGAAAUGCAACACAGAAUGCACUUUUGGAAUUUGGGAGCUCAGGAACCAAGGUUCGGUAACUUGUUUAAUGAAGCAAUGGAGGCUGACUCCAAGCUUAUCGAAAGGGCGGUAGUGGAAGAGUGUGGAGGAGUUUUUGAGGGUUUGAAAUCCCUGGUGGAUGUUGGAGGGGGAACAGGAGCCAUGGCCAAGGCUUGCCAAUGCAUUCCCCAACAUCAACUGCAUUGUGUUUGAUCAACCAGAUGUGGUGGCUGAAUUGCAAGGAACCACCCAUAAUUUGGGUUUUGUGGGAGGAGACAUAUUUGUGGAAAUACAACCUGCAAUUUUGCUCAAGGUACGUAAUUUAUAACACUCAUUUAUUUCCUAACUAACACCUUUUUGUUAGUAAAAACAUUUCAUCCUUGUCUUGUAUAGUUCUAGUAGCAACUUAAUUUCCUAACUAAUACCUUUUUGUUAGUAAAAACAUUUCAUCCUUGUCUUGUAUAGUUCUAGUAGCAUCGUUUGUCCCACAUACUUAGUAAGGCCGACCUCUACUAAAAAAAUGGUAAAUUUCAGUUUACUACCUUCAAGUUUCGUGGUUUUCAACAUUUGUUACAUGAAGUUUUUUUCAUUCCAGAAUCAUAUUAUGGAACAAUCUCGAGCAUCCGUUAGUAUAGUUGUGACAUCCAUGUGGAUAAUAACUGAACGUCAAGGAUCAUUAAAGGUCAACCUGGAAAUUCAAAAAAAAAAAAAAAAAAACCCACUCGUCUUCUAUCUCCCCCAACCCCCUCCCUCCCUUCUCCAACCCGUACCCUCCCUUUUCUCCGCUCCGAGGUCCUCACCCGCCACUCCGACCUCCUCACCCAGCUCUUUUCCCUCCACCAUGCCCAGCUCUCUGCCCUCUCCAACGUCCGAUCCUCUGUUGCCGCCCUCCAGUCAUCCCUUCGCCACACCCGAUCCGAGCUCUUCGACCCCCUCACCCUUACUAUCUAGCUCCAAAAUCUCCAUGCCUCCUCCGAUCUUCUCCACCACUCCAACAGAGCCCUCCGCCUCUCCCGUAAGCUCUGAUCCCUCGCCUCCGACGACCCCGAGCGCAUCGACCGCUGAUAGGAGCAUUUUUAUGCGACUUAAUUGGCUUGUUCUCAUGCAUUUAUGUUGUUUUUCCUUAGUUAGUUUAGUGUUUAAAGUCAUUUUCGUGCAAUUUCAGGUUUUAUUGUCAAAGUAUGCAAAAAGGAGCAUUUUGGAGCUUUUAGGAGCAAAAUUGGGCUUGGAAUGAAGUACAUAUGCAUGGAGCAAGGAGUUUGGACGAAUUUGAAGUCAAAACAUCAAAUGAACAUGCUAAAAAUCUGGUGAAACAAAUACAAGUUGCAAGAAGGGAUAGGUUUCUAGAAGGAUUGACCAAAAUUCCACUCAAAACCAUGUUCACACCAAAAAUCACAUCCUUGCCGUGCAUCCUUGAUGCUUUCACACCAGAAAAUUGAGUGAAUGAUUCAAUACCUAACCAACUAGGAAAUUGAAUAAAUGAUUCAUCCCUAAAAUCACAUGCUUGCCGUGCAUUCUUGAUGCUUUCACACCAUAAAAUUGAGUGAAUGAUUCAAGACCUAACCCACCAUUAUUCUCCACAUGCUUGCCGUAUAUCCUUGUUGUUUCACACCAGAAAAUUGAAUUAAACAAGUCCAUCCUCUCCCUAUAAAUACCCAUGGCAGCAGCCUCAUUGAGGAGAUCCAGAAAUUAACCAUUCUCCAACCUUGUGUUGCAACAAAGAAGAAAAGGAAAGUUCUUGUACGUGCUUGCUAUCCAACAUGGAUCGUUGGAACGUUUAGGUGUUUUCUUUCUUUUGUUUUCAAUGUAUAAUUCUAUUUAUCUUUGCUUUGUGAACAUGAGGAACUAAACCCCUAUUUAAUUAGGGGGAAGUUUGAAGCCAUGAACAUGCUUGUGAUAUGAAUUGAUUUCUUCCAAUUGUGAUUUGAUAAGUUGUGAUUGCAAUUCAAUUAUCUAUUUUCUUCAUAACUAAUUCUUGUAUGUUUAUUAAGGAUGCAUACUUAGUUUUCAUACAUGAAUUAGAUGCUAGAAUAUAAAUGAGUUUCACCUAAUUGUUACAAGUUUAUAUUCAUGAGUAGUGAAGGUUGCUUGUCACAAUCGCGUUAAUUGAAUUCUUGGCAAACGUAUCAUGCAUUCAUAGUUACAAUUGCCUCGUCAACACUUAUGAUUUUCAUUGAACGUAAUGAUCUCUGAUUGUAUCUCUAUUAUGCAUUCAUAUAGGGGACUUUUGGAGAAUAAUUUGGAUUGUCGCAUGCAUUCAUCCAAUUCAAUAAGUAAAGGAAAGUCUGAGGGUUAAUUUGUGCAUCACGGUCAAUCUGGAGUGUUGAGCAUCAUAGUUUAUUGAAAAGCAAUUGGAAAUCGAUUCAUGUACAAGUGUGUCAUGUGUGAAGAACGGACCUCUAACUAAUCCAUCCACCAUCUUAUUUCUCAAAUUCGUUUUAUAAUCUGCCUAGCUAAAAAUCUAUUUAAGUUUUAGUUUAUUUGUUUUACUUUCAACUUCACCAACCCAAAUCCCCCUUUUACUUUCUUGUUUUAAAGUCUUUUGUUUACAUUUUUAACUUUGUUUCUUUUUGUUUUUGAGUCAGUUUAGAGGUUUUAGCAAACCCUCCUAAUCCCCGGUUUAGAACGAUCCCUACUUACAUACUUUGCUACAAUUGUCAAAAGAGGGUUUAAUUUGUGUGCUUAUAUUAUUCGCAUCAACCGCACCAAGGCCGCUCAGCUCCUUUGCGAGAUCUUAGCUCUCUAUAAUGAAUACGACCUCGCUGUCAUUGAUGUGGUCGAUUCCGAACUCGAGUGGGUCAAAGAUACCGGAGACAAGUUGCGUACGGAUGAGAGAAGGAUGGAGGGUUUGAACCAGGCCGAGGUGGGGACUGGGCUGCAGGUGUUUUACAAUUUGCGAAAUGCAUCGUCAACAUUCAGUUCACCAUAAAAUUGGCUACCCUCUUGAUAGUAACCCUUCCUGCAAGAUUUAUAAACAUUUUAACUUCACUGCCUAGUGACUACUUUCCAAAACAUCCAUGACAUUAAGUGAAUUGGAGCAGGAGAAUUACCCGCUGGAAGUUUUCUCAUGAGUCCACCAGUGACCUGUGUUGAAGAUGAGAACAUCUGCAUUUUUGUAGUUGUCAGAGGAGAGAGAGGAUGGAGGAUGGGUGGGGGUUGCAGAGGAGAGGAGGGAGGGUACGGGUUGCAGAGGAAAGAAGGGAGGGAGGGGGUUGUUGGUGGAGGUAGAAGACUGGUGUUUUUUUUUUUAAAUAAAGGUUAAAAGACUUGUUCAAUAUUUAAAUGAACACACAUUAUAUGUUUGUAUUCUAUAUUUUCAUUAUAUUCUAAUACUUCAUUACAUAUAUAUAUAUAUAUAUAUAUAUAUAUAUAUGAUUCUAUUUUGUGUUUUAGUAUGAAAUUAUAUAUUUUUUAAAUAUAAAUAGACACUUAAUUAUACAAAAUAUAAUAGAAUUAUUUAAAUUCGACUAGUCCAUCUAAGCGCUUGGCCCCUACCUGCAACCCGACUAGCACCUUUCGUCUUUUAAAACUUUUAAAUAGAAUUAUUGAUAUUUAAAAGGUGCCAACAAGCAAGUAUAUUUGUAUGCAUACGCAUUGUUGAUAUAGUUGUGUGUGCAUAUCCUCGUUUUACAUAUAGAUUAAUUUUGGAAAUAUAGUUGUUUGUUCGAAACUCUUUGACUCAUGAUUGAUGUCACCUCUUAUGAAAUUAGUAAAUUUAAACUGGAGGGGUGAGAAUUGAAUAUUAUAAAUUUGAACCGUUAAACCGAGAAAAUUUGUUCCAAUUCUGUAAAUUAAAAGUUCGGUAAAGUUAUAAGACCCAAUUCAUGAGCCAGGAUCUUGAAAAACAUGAUUUUCACAAACAAUUAAUGCGGAAUACUUAAAUUACAUACCUCAACAAUUGACCGUCAAAGCCUUCAUCAGUGUACACAUUAAUGGGUAUGUACACUCUCAAUGGUGAAGCUAAGAAUUGUCAAGGGGAUGGGCAAAAUUUAAAAGGAAUUUUCAUGAAAAUGGCUUGAGCUAAGUUUAUUUUAAUAAUAAAAAAAAACAUGCUAUAACUUUAUUUAAUGAAAAAGAAUUAAAUUUUAAUGAAAAACCCUUAAAUUUUAAUAAAAAUAAUAGAAAAACUUAAUUUUUAAUGAAAAUGACGCAAUUAAAAAAAUAACCCGACGCACGUAGGGACCUGUACACUGUUUAUGAAACUGAACACUAUUUAUAAAAUCGAACACUAUUUAAGAAACUGAACAGUACUAUACUAUUUAUUGGUCCAAUUUCAUAAAUAGUGCCUAGUUUUUUGUUCACUUUCAUAAAUAGUGUCUAGUUCUUGAUCAUGUUUUAUAAAUAAUGUCUAGUUAUUAGGUCCAGUUUCAUAAAUAAUGUAUAGUAAUUAGUACAGUUUCAUUAAUAGUGUCUCUUUCUUGGUCUGAUUUCAUAAAUAGUGUCCACUUAAUAGUCCACUUUCAUAAAUAGUGUCUAGUUCUUGGUCAUAUUUCAUAAAUAUUGUCUAGUUUUUACUCUAGUUUCAUAAAUAGUUUCCACCUAUUGGUUUAAUUUUGGAAAUAAUGCCUAAUUCUUAUUUUCUUUCAUAAAUAAUGUCUACUUAUUGAUCCAGUUUCAUAAAUAAUAUCUACUUAUUGGUCUAGUUUCAUGAAUAGUGUCUACUUAUUAGAUCAGUUUCAAUUCUUGGAUCAGUUUCAUAAGGUUUGAAACUUAGACCCUUUUGGUCCUGUAAAAGCACCCAUUGAGUCAAAAAACGAUGAACCCAUAAGUGACUCUUUAGAUCAAAACCUUGAGAAUAUUAUAUUCUUAGUAAUUAUAUUUAAAAAACUAUUUUCAAUUACCAAAUUAAAAUUUCCUCACUUUUUUCAUAUACCUACAAUAAUAAAUGUAGCUCUCCAUCCAAUUUAUUAAGCUUAGGUGUCAUUUGGGAUACAUUUUUCCUUGUGCCCAUAACAUAAAUGGUAUAUCACGUGUUAUUAUAUAAGUGGUGGAAAAUUUUAUUUUUUAUGUUAUUAAUUUUUUAACACAAGAAUAUCACAACUUGUAUAGAAUGUACCACCCCGUGUUCUGGGCACAUUGAAAGGUUUCUCGUCAUCAUGACUACUAUUGGAAAACAACACCACAAAAAUAAAAUAGGAGAAUAUAAUUCAAUUCGAAGUAUUUUUCUUAUUCUAAGAAAGAAAAAAUAACUAUUAAUGUAGCUGACGAUGAGACAAAAAGGUGGGAGAAAAAAGUAGAGUGUUUGAAGUGUUUUUUUUUGGGGGGGGGGGGUAUGCGCAAGUUGGGUUUGUUAGGGGUUUUUUUUUUAAUUUAAUUUAAUUUAAUUAUUAGUCUUUUGUCUUUAUUAUUAAAUAAAGUUAGUGAGUAGUUUUUUAUUAAAAUGUAAAGAUUUGAAGCCCUUUUCAUUAGUUUUCCUAAAUUUAAAAGGGUAAAAUGUUCCAAUAAAAUGGGGACACCCAUUUGAGGUCUAAGUCCAAGGUUGGCAAAAAGACUAUGUGGACUACCUAGAAUAUUCGACGAAUGAUUUGGACUAACCGAAAUAUUCAAAAGAGGACUUGGGCUGCCUGAAAAAUUCGAAGGAGGAUUUAAACUAACAUUAUUAUUUGAAAGAGGAUUUAAGCAUUGUUUCUUGUUGUAAAAUUUCGUUACAUAACUAUAUAAUGAACAAAGUUCUAAAGGACACUAAGAGCUAGUUGGGCAGCAAACAUGUUCUAAUGCUUAGGCAUGGAUUUUGGCGGCUAGAUGUUUAAAUAAAUUUAUUAUAAUAUUUUUUGAAUAAGUGUCUAUUUAUUACAUAGUAUAUAGUAUCUAAAAAUAUUGAUUAUAGAACAUAAUGUAUAAAAAUAUUUGAUAUAUGUUAUUUAUUACUUUAUUGAAUUUGAUGGUAAGAAAUAAAAAUUGAAAUGAUUAUGAGUUCGUAGUACUUUAAAAAAUAUUUUGAAAAGAAAAAAAAUAGCAUGUGCGCAGCCUGCGCUGCACAACAGUAUGGAGUCCUCACAGAAUUACAGGUUUUCCGACCGACCAGAGGGGUGGCAACACAUCAAAUCAAUACUUCUGGCCUUGUUUUUUUGGUGAGAGGAGGGGCGGCAACCCCUCUCUGCCCCUUAGUAGCUUCGCCACUAUGCACUCUUAUAGGCAAAGAAGGGAUCAUUUCCUAAUUAAGCUUAUCAUCAAUUACCACCCAUCACGAUAAUAAAAAAGAAACCAAUUCUCAUAAGUUGACCAAUCGGAUGCUUCCAAAACAAUAUUCAUUAAAGCGAAUUUAUCACACAUGGACCAUGUCAUGUGGGUCAUACUAGAAUAUUGAAAUAUCCUUACAUUCUCCAACUUGGCCCAUAUGAUACAUAUGCUUACAUGCUAGUCAUUACAUUUUUAAAUCUAUAUGCGACUUAAUUCCUUCUAUUAACUCACCAAUUAUAUGUAAUCACGUACAAAUUACAACAAAACACAAAGAAGCAAGCAUAGUUUAAGGAUCAACAAGCUUAUCAAGGCGAUGAUCAAUAUAUGGGUUCACGUCCAAGAGUAUUUAUAAUAAUAUUAACUAUAUUUUUGUUAUUACUAGCAAACGAUCAAAAUGUUAAUUUGACUAGCUAUCACUUCAGCAAUACUAGCUAUCUUAAAUUAAGUAAUAUAUUUUAAUAUUAUUUUUUUCUAAACUUAAUAAUCCAAACUCCUUUUUCUUCUCUUCAAUCCACGACAAUGCAAUUUUAUAGUUUUUAGGGUUUUGCAAAAUUAACUUUUUCUCUCCACACUAAUGUAGCUUUUUUUUUUUUUUUUGAAUGGAGAGACGAUAAUCAUUAAAACAAAACAGAACAAACAAAGUUCGAACAGACUGAGGAUAGUGUGCAAAGUGGGCCUCGAUAAAAACCUUGUCGGGCAAACAACCCGAUCGAAGGAAAAAAGUGUCCCGCACACCGAAAGAACUAUCCUCAAAUGAACAAUAGCAAACAAAUUACAUUCCGUCCUCAAGUAAAACAUCUUGAAUCAAAUCCGGGGGCUCCUCAAACCACUAAAUGUAGCUAAUUAGUAUUCACGAAAUUAAGAUAACUAGUCAAUGACCUAGCUUAUUAGAAACUCGGUUUUCUGCCUUAACUUAUCAAGGCAAAGAUCAUUAGCUGGUGUGAGAGGGCUAUCAGCUACACUUGGAGGAGUUCAGAUCUACUAUUCUCAAACUCCCACUGCCUGCUUUGUGCUAUUGACUAGUGUCAUAUUACUUUACACCAAAUUAUGAACGUUAACAUCUUAAAAGAAAAUUGUUAUUAGCAUUCGAAAUUUUUUUUCUUACACUUCUCACAAAUGUAUUAUUUUUUCUAAUUAUAAAAAAUAAAUAACGCAAAAUGAAAUGUUUGGAAAUGCCAAUAAUAAUUUUCUCUUAAAAUAUGGAAAAUAAAAAUAUUACUUCAAAACAACCCCAUCUCACCAGACAAAGCUCCCCCAUCGAUAUUCUGUCGGCCAACCGAUCUGCACCUCACUGUUGGCCAGUGACCACCAACUUCUCCCGUCGCUCCCCACCCAAUUGCACUUCACCCAGUCACCCACCUCGAGUUGAUACAAAAGUCAAAUGGUUCUCACUUCCUCACCGAAUCCGGAACCCAUUUAUUAAUUUCACUUCGAUUCGAUCUCUCCGCUUCCGCUUCGUUGUGGGUAUAUCGGUAUUUCUCUCGAAACCCCGCAGAAGAAGCAGCCGCCGCCACCACCAUUGGGAUUAGAAGAAGAUCAAGCCCAAGGGGAUACUUGAAGUCAAACAUUGGGUUUGUCUGCAAAUAAAAUCCAUUGCUGCUAAAUCAUAGGAGUCGGAAGGAGAGGGAGAAGAUGAAGCGUGGAUUUUACAUAAAUAGAAGACCUGUUAACUCAGAAGACAGACGUCACAAGAAGAAUGCAGGCAGAGAUGGUGAUUAGUUUUCGAUGUCAUUUACUAAUGAUUAAUUAUUUUCCAUUGAUUGAAGCAUAUAAGGAUGACUGAAAGUACAUAUAUACUGCAUACACAUUACAAACAUAUCUAUUGCUCGCUCUAGCCUCGAAGGAGUCAAUUAAAAGUCUCUUGGUCUCUCUCUUCACAACUCGGUUUGGGGCUACUAUUCCCAUCAUUUUCAGGAGUGCAGCUCCCACUGCUGCUGCCAUCAAUUGUUUUUCGUCCUUCAUCACACUCAUUAUUGCUCAUACUACUACUUACUCCACCAGUACUAGUACCACCUUCUUUGCUACCGCCUUCCUCGAGAAGACGAUCGCCUCUCUCAACCAAGACAAGAGCUAAGUGAAGCUGAUCAUCGUUGCAAGUCAAGUGAUCGUGAUCACCAUGAUCACCAUCCUUAAUUUUGUACUUAGGAUUUGUAGCCCGAAAUGACCAAACUUGGACCACAUCACCUACACCUAGACUAUGUCUUUCAACAAUGCCAAACCAUGUAGAUUUCAGCACAUAGGUUUUUUGAGAUUUGCUUGACAUUGUCCACAAUCCUAGGGAUACCUUGUCAGGUUCAAGCUUUGGGCCAAUCAAAGGAACCAUCAGGAGGCUAGUUUUAUCUAGUUCCUCCUUUUCGUUGGGUUUGAGAAAAUUCUUGGAUUCGGUUUGCAUUCGAGGCAGUGACAACCUGCCUUGGUCUUUGUUUAUGUCAGUGUUGUACAAACUCUUUUGUGCCAACAUUUGCAGCUUUGUCCCAUUCAUUUCUCCUAAGAUCAAGCUCUUGAAUUCUUCAGGCAAGUCAGGGGCUGGCAUACCACUAGCAAAUUUUACCUUAUUUUUACCCUUCUUCACCACCUUAUUUGUUGCGUUCAAGUUGUUGUUGAAGACAAACUUGACCUUCUUCUUCUUCUCAUUCAGAUGUGCAGGCCCCACAUGAUCUUCACCAUCAUCAACGUCGAUGUAUUUUCUUUUCAAAUUAUCCUUAUCACCAAUCAUUGUUUGUGCUUCAUGAACAUAAUCAAGUUCAGUACCACUAGCUCUAGUACUGACAGGGAUGUCGGUUGCUAUAGUUAACUCUUUUCCGAACAAGAUAAUACUUUUAGCUUUAGUGGGCGACCUUGGUUUCUUAGGAUGUGGACAACAUUCUUCAAGUAAACUGUGACACAAAAUUAAACACGUAAUUAAUUAGUACGCGGUGAUAAACAAGGUUAUAUAUGUGACAAAUUAGUUAAUCAAUUUGGUGGCAGUAAUUGUUAAUACUUUAGAAAACUGAUUUCCCAUACCCUUUUAUCCUUUUGUCCAUUUAUCCUCUUUUGAUAUUAACAUGAGUUUACAAAGAGAGAAAAGCAGUGUGUAAUAAUCUCUUCCCUAAUAUACUUACUGAUAACAUAAUUGAAUUAGCUAGCUACGGUUUGAGACAGAGAGAGAGAAAACAUACUCUGGGAUUUCUUGGAUGUUCGAAUGGGAGCAUUUCUUAUUGGGAAGUAGAGGUUGAUGUUCUUCUUCUUGUUGGUUCCCUGACUUUUCUUCUUCCUCAUGACUUCCAGACCCAACCUGACCACUAGAACUCUCCAAUAUAUGGCCUUUUUCUCUCACGAUCACUAAUCCGUUUCCUUCUUUCUGCAACGUAUUAGUUAAUUAAGUAACAUUAUUAACGUAAAAGAAUAAUAAACAAAUAACUAAGCACACUAGAAAGAUUAAAGAAGAUAUGAAAGCUUUUACUUACAGGAGAAUUAGGGUUUGUGUUGGUAUUGCUAGCGGUAGGGCUAGGGCUAGGCAUAAUAUUUAAGAAAUCAAAGUAGCUUCGUCUCUUCUUCAAAGGCAAGUCCGAAUUCUCUUGUGUCUCUUGCAGCAGCUUGAUUUUUCUGGAAGCGAUGGUGCAAAUCGCCUUCGCCAACAUAUCGAAAGGGGACAAGCCAUCAUCGUCGUCCAAAUCUUCCGUACGCCGCAAACUCCGCGAACUCAUCAACAUUAUCUUCUUGUUCUUCUGUUUCUCCUUUUUCUCCAAGUGCUUUUUCAGUGAAUAAAGCGAAAGAACAAACACAGAAGUGCGUUAAUGUUCUUAUAUAGAUAGUCUCUUAUGGGGUAGAAAUCCUUAAUCUGACCGGACAUAGAAAAGUUUGGGCUUCAAGUAAAUAAUAAUCCCUAGCUAAUUGGCUAGCCUAAGUUUUAAUUUCAAUCCAACGGUUCAGGACCAAAGUCAACAAAAUAUGACUGUAUCCAAGGAGGAAUCGGAUGCGCAGAAGAUUUAGGAAAGUAUAUACGAGUAGGUAGUAUUUGUCAGGGAGAAGGGGAACUUUAAUUGGUCUCCAAUGAAUCUUUCCUCAAUCAAAAUUGAUGCCCCAAGUCCCAAAGCUUUUGGGUUUUCUAUUUUAAAAAUUGUAUUUUCAGUUGCCCCAUUUUGGAAGAUUUUGUUAUUGGCAUGGUUUGAUUCCGAUUUCCCGUGGGUUUUAAUAUAUCUUUAAUUUGGUGUGAUCAAUUGUAAGAUAGUUUUUUUUUCCUUUUAAUUUUUAUCAAUAACCAAUUAAUUGAUACACAAAUACAAAAAUGUGACCCGAACCUUCUAUUUUUGGGUGCCCUCGUUGAAAAUCUUGUAUACAAAGUAUUAGAGCUAGCCAUUUAUUGCCUCAAGCAUCUAAGCGAUUUCAACAUUUGAAUUUAAUAAAAAAGAAAGAAAUCGCAUAAAUCCAAAACGCCGUUGUUUUGGACAUGAUUUUUAUCAAAUUCAUGCUAAUUUUAUAUUUCUAACUUAGUUUCUAUUAGUUUAUUAUGACUUUAUCACGUGAGUUAGAAAAAUAAUAAUAAUAGUCCAGUAUUUGAUUGCUUAACAUGCUUACUUGAUUGUUUAAAAUGCCAUGUUAUGUAUAUUAAGUAUUAAAAGUUUUAGUUUAGGCUAUCGCCUCGUGCCUCGAGGCUAUCACCCAAACGAGCUUGUUAUAAAACGCUUUGGCUCAUUUCUCCCUUUUAAAACAUUGGUCUUGAAUUCGAAUUGCUAGUUCGAUACUCUUCAACUUCAUUUUAUUUGGCCUUGAAAAAAACUGGGAAAAUAAACCGUACAAAUACUACCUACCUUCCAACUGCCAAGAACACCCACCCGCCACCACC